UUUUUUUUUGUCGAUACGAUAAAAUUCCUAUAACCUAAGCUAGUCUAUUCUAGGGAGAGGGGGGAGGGAACUCAAUGUGAGUAGAAACUCCAUCGAAAGUGGUCAAUGAAGACCGUCACAUAAUGUGAGUAGAACUGGGAAGAUGUCAUGAUGCCACGAAAUUACCAGCAUCUGGAAAGAUGUCAUGAUGUUCCUAAAAAGUCUGAGGUGCGCAUUGCUUAAUGAUGCAGGCAUGUCACCUAGCCACUUCAUUUAACAAGAAAAAAAAAAUGGAUCGAAUUACAGAAUGCAGACAUCGCUACCAGUGAGACCAUAGAGACUAUUGGGAUUACACUGAAUUAAUCAAACACGUUAAUCGAGUGCUUGACUUCACCACAUCUGCCAUCCUGGAACAUGUUACAUCCAUGACUUGUAUGUGAAAUUGAUAUGGUUAUGUUCUAACGUCUUCAGCAGUCGUCAAUGCGUAUCUCUACCUGAAAUUUGAUCCUCCCCAGUAUGGCAACUCCUCCACAUGGCAGUAACGUGUUCUUCGAUAUUUUAGCAAUGAUUCCAUGUUUUCAACCAGACGUGCAAAUAUGUGCCAGGUUAAGCCCAACAUCCCAGAAGUUACUACGCGUGAUGCUAGAAAAGCAACAUCCUACGUUGUGAAGACAUGCUAUCCAGUCAAGAAUAUGGAUUAGCAGUAACUCUAGGAGACAGGAGAAAAAGGAACGUACAGGGAGCAAGCAAACUGAUCAACGUCAAUUUUAAAGAACCUCGCACCUAGUAAUUCACACAAAUAAUAAACAUCAUUAGCAUGAAGAAUACAACAGUUAACAGUAGAUAAACUUGAUUUAGUUGAGAGAAACAAAAGCCAGGGUGGGGAUUCCUCAUCUAUGAAAACAAAAGGUUCAAUAAAAAUGCUAAAAUCCCGUCCCUGACACUGAACCAGAAAAAGGAUUAUAUUACAUUUCAAAAUGUCUCCAAACAGUUGAAAAUAUUGUUUGCCCCAAUUUGAAAGGAGGCCUAGACAUUUGGGAAGAACAAUCUCAUCUUUGAUGAUACACAACAUUUAGUUGUUGCCACCUCCAAACAGAUAACCCAGCGAAGAUCCACCACCAGGGGCAGCAUGGACUUUGGUAGACGGCCGAUCCUAAAAAAAAAUUAAAAGCUUUGUAUGUCAAGUUGAUCAAUCCAGGAAGAGCAAUUCAUAACAGAGUAAUAGAGCCAAAAACAAUUGCAGAGAGGCAAUGCUAAAGCACAAAAACAAUUUCCUAACUCUUCCACCUGCAAGUACAUUCAAUCACCCACCUGCCAUCCUCCCUCUUCACCCCCAAAACAAUAAAGCAGAACAACACAAAACCUUUCUGUAGAUGCAAAAUUCCUGUAUGGGCAAAAAACUUCUGGGCAUUGUCAAAGAUGAACUUCUUUUCCUUUAAUUAUCUUUUUCUUAGGGGGACAUGUUUGCCAGGAAAAUUGCACAAAUAAAACAGUGUGGAAAAUAUUUACAUGUUCAAUGAAGCAAGCCAAAUAAUAGAACAGGAAUAUGAUCAUACAGUGAGGAAGUUGCCACUAUUCUGCCCUUCAGCACGGAAAUAGUUGUUUGCUUUGUUUCCCUGGAUGCCAGCAGGAAUCUGCUUAGAAGCAUCAACAGGUUGUGCAACAGAAGUAGGCUUCAGAGAAACCACAUUGGUCUCAACUGGUGCCUGGUUUUUAGGAGCUUCUGCACUGUUUGUGACAGGUUUUGGUGCCUCACCACUUCCAAAGAGGUAGCCAAGAGAGCUUUGUCCUCCACCACUGCUCACUCCACGACCCAUGAUUUCUUAAUUUAUCUUUUUGCAAGCUCAGCAACUGUUUUCACAUUGAGCACACAAUAAGAACACAGAGGCCAAGAACAGUUAGCACAAAAACUAAUCAUGUCCAGCAGAAUAGUUAGAUCAAAUUCUUGUAUAGAAAGCUCAAGCAACACAAAAACAGAAACAAAACAAGAUGGCAAUCUCUUCUUUGGUUCUUCUAGUUCAAUGAAGAGUAAAACCCAAGUCAACCAUCCAAAAGUGUAAAGGAUCAAGCAACUGAAUUCCACUGUACCAGUAAAUUGUGUAGUAGUUCGAUUAAUAGCUUAAAAUCUGAUUCAUGUCCGAGGAAAUGAAGCAAAUCCCCCGCUUCUCCAUUUUAGCUUUCUCAUGGAGAUCGACAAUCAUUUGCCUUUAUAUAAAAUCCUCAGUUUACUCCCUCCAAAAGUAGAAAUUUCAAGACACUCUUGAUUGAACUUUGCAUCACAACCAAAAAAAUUAAAUUAAAAAAAUACCUAAAGCUAGUCUAUCCACCCACGCCACCAAAACCGUCAGCUGUAAAAAGAAGAAAGCUUCAUCCUUCCAUAAGUGGUUCUUGUUGGAUCGCUAAUGCAACAGGAUUUAUCUUACAGUCCAUAGUGAUUCGACUUAAGACUCACAAGUCGACCCCAACCAUAGAUAAACCAAAAUCAGAAGCUAUACGAACUCCAUUACAAGAUUUCUGUUUUUCCAAGAAUAGACAGAUUUUCCGUCUGUUUUGCAACUUCCAGACUUUUGGCAGAUCCUAACAGGGUAACAAAAUUUUGUUAUACAAAACUCCAUAUUUCAACAAUUCGAAAAUCUUCCAUCAUUAGAAGAUCAAAUAGAAAAAAUCUCACCAGCAAUUCAGGAACUAAAUAGAUUAAAUUGCACAGCUACAUCUUCUUUAAUUUAAUAUAAUUAAAGAAGUUCAAAAAAACAAAAUGAGUAGAUAAAGUCACUUUCACAGCAAGUAAAGUAAUAACUAUCAACGUCAAAACCUAGAUCUGAAACAGUAUAGCAAAAAUUGACAGCUAAAACACUCUGGAAAAUGCCUAAUUUAAUCCAGAUCCAUACCAGAAAAUUAACCGAAUAAAUUACACAAAAAACGUAAGCAUUUAGUCUUAGAAAGUCAAAACAGCUGAAAACGUAGAGAAAGCUGACCUUCUCAGAAGUGUAGCCUUGUGUCGUCCGGUUGAAGAUCAGAUCUGCGGAGAGAAGAUAGGGAAAAAUAGAGAGAGAAAAAUUUUAAUUAAACUAAUUUGACGGAGAGGGCUAUUUAUAUCGGAGACUUUGAAGUGAGUGGCAUGACUGGUGAGUGGGUAGUGGGGAGCGGAGAGUGGGCAGCGGGCAGUUGGCAGUGAUUAGAGUUAAAGUAGUAGAUAAUAUAUAGACUAAAGUAGAUAAUAAGGACAAAAUGGGGCGGUUCUGCAUCAUUUUCCGCGUUCCGAUUAUCAUUACUUAUUUCAAUGGAAAAAAAUUUUGAUGAAAGUUUGAUGAAAAAAAAAACAAAUCUAGUCUCUAAUAUUUAAGUACACGAGUUUUUUUCAGCCUCGCGCGAUUCUAAUAUUUAAGUACACUAGUUUUUUUCAGCCUCGCGCGAUGCCCUGAAUCUGUGUUAAUCAAGGGUCAACUGAAGGCAAAUAAUUUAGUGUAGAAUGCUUUUAUACUUAAUACAUGAUUGGUGUAAGUAACCACGGAACAUUUGAUUUUAGGCAAUUUGAAUACCAUUUUUAUUCAUUUACUCAUUUGGUUUGUAAUUUUGUCUAGAUAGUCGGAAAUGGGCUUAAGAUCUUUGCAAUUUCUUGAUACUAUAAAUAAAUGAUGCAUUCAUUUGAAAUAUAUAAGUACAUAUAAAUAUAAGAAUCAUGGUGAUAUUAAAAACUUUUUAAACAAUGCUCACACUAUCUGUACAUAGUUAAGAAUGAAAUAACUUUAAACAAGUAAAAGAUUUCCUUAAACCUAUUAUAAAUAAAUACAAUGGUAGUGUCAAUAAUUUGAAAAGAACAGUCAUCACAUUUCUACAUAAUAAAAAAUAUCAAGAAAUUGAGAAUUAUUCGUAUUAUAGUAAAAAAAUAUGCUUCUAGUAAUCGUAGUCGAAAUUGUUAUCCUGAUAGGUGUUGUUUCUUUUAAUAAUCUUUCCAAAUCGAACAUGUUUUCUCAAACUUCUUGAACUCUUUGCAACAAGUUUUGGGUAUAGUACAUAAAUCAUGAUCAUCUCUCUUUCUUAUUGUUUUGCAUCUCUCUUUUUGUGCAAAGACAAAUUAAAACCAGAGACCAUUGAUCGAUGACAAUGAACUUUUUCUUCUUUUCUUUUUUCAAGCAUUCCCUUAAAAGAAUUCAAACAAAUUAUAGUAAUCUCGAGACAUGCAAUGUGUAGCAUAUUUCACCUUAUAACCUUAAUAAACAAUUGAACCUUAACAGCCAUUUAUAUCAACCAAUUAUGCAGUGCAUUAUUUUAAUUAGUCAACUAGUAAUGAAUAAGGAUGAAUGUUUCUAGCUAAUGUUGUGGCGACCCCACUUCCCCCUAAGGCGAACCAGAGGGUUGGCGGGCCGUCUGCCUAACUCUCGCCAGGACUCACGCAAGAGAUCUAGCCCAAAUCCUUCCGAAGUAUAGCCUAAAUUAUUAUAGUAUUGAUCCUCCAGAAUAGACCAAUAACUAAGACCACAUUAACUUCAGAGAUAACAGCACUUUAAGAUAGCGACUCGUCGAUUCUUAAAUACCUUACGCGUUACAAACCACAGAAUAAAGUCAAACAAUCCCAUUUAACAAAUUCAUACAAGCCAAAUACAUUCUUACAAGCUAAGUAACAAAUUUACACAAGCCACAUAACCAAUCUAGGGUUUACACUUUUCCAGCUUCAAGUGGCAACCCGAAACAAAACUACAUUGUCUAAUCCGAAAUACAUUAAUAACAAGUAAAGUAGAUUUCAGGCCUUUCUCAUAUGCCAGAACCUGUCAAGGAAAACAAAAUAACGUGGGGUGAGCUAAAACUCAGUGGUGCCUCAAAACAUGCAAUUACAUAAGGCAAGUAGCAAAUAUUGAUUUCAACUAAAGUAAACGAUUAGGAAAGCGUAUAACAGCACAAGGUAGGAUACAGGGGCUCUCAGGAGCCAUUCUCCAUGAACUUGAUCAAAAUUUUCCGUAGUUGACCCUCCGUCAACUUUCACUACCUACGGUCCAUGUAGAACGCCACUUCACACCAGUUCCUACCUCCAUUCAUACCCCUGUCCCGGGCCCGCACACCAAAAAAUGAUAGUGGUAAUACUCGACUACACCCUUUUAUAAACUAGUCGAGGGAUUCACCCAACGACGUCACAGACUAGUCGAGGGAUUUACCCAAUGACGUCACAAACUAGUCGAGGGAUUUACCCAACGACGUCACAACACUUGAAAUAUUCACGAAAACAUUUCACACAAGUCACCACUCGAACGGCUAGUGUGAUAAAGUACACACUGCUCACUUCGAUGGAUCAAAAACCACUUUGCAAUUAUCAUAUAUCGAGUCAAGAAAGCACUGUAACCAAAUAGUCAUAAAACAAGCAGGGACACUCACCAAGAGUGAAGCUCAGAUGUCAAGUUGGGAAUCGAAAUCCGCGUCCUCGCUAAAUCCUAGAAAACCAAGUUUUAAGAACUAUAAGUUUUCUAUUCAAAUUCUAGGUAUAUAAAUAUAAAAGGUUAUCUGGUAUAUUACUAGUUUAUUUCCUCGAAAUAAUUCGACAAUCCACUUAGGAUUAAACUUAGUAAAAGUAGUAAAUUGUUUCAUAUGGCUUUCUUUAUAAUACUUUUCUUUCUCAAAGUGCCACUAGUACUUUUUUUUUUUUAUAUUUAAAGUAAGUUUUCUUGCCGAGCAGGUUUUCUACGCUUUUUAGUUAAAAUUAUUAAAAUCUCGUAUUUUGUCAAUUUUCCUCUAGACAUCUAGCCAGGGACAAAUUUUAAGGAAAGAAAAGGAGGUAAAACAAGACUUAGGGUUUUAGAAACUAGUGAAGUCGUUUUCUAGAAGUAAUAAGGUUAGUUUAAGCUAAAGGAAGAAAUAUCGAGUCGACAAAGUUUAGAAAAUUUCUACACAAGACUUUCUAACGUUAACGUACAAUACCAAGUUUUAUCGUUUGAUACUAGGGCAAAGAUAUAUUUACAUAGCUUGCUUAAAACUUUCUCAAGUUCACAGGACCAAAACGGAUUUCUUACGAUUCUGAUUCACAAGCACAUAAUAUUUCAGAUUUGUCAAUAUAGCAAACUCACAUUUCAAAUAGAAAUCUCACUAGGGCUUCGUCAAUCAUUAGCCCUAGGUUUCAACAGAUUCAUUUCUGAUCAAAAUUUAAACAAAUGACCAAGGCUUCGUCAAUCAUUAGCUCUUGGUAUCCAACAGGCUCAUAUCAGAUCACAAUUGAACAAAAUAAAUGCAAGGCUUCCAAGCAGUUCCAUCGACUAAACCGCAAGGGUUUUAUCAACCAAGUAUAAAUAAUAACAAGUAAUUCCAGCAGUUAAUUUCAUCAAAAUUUUAAUGUUUGAAAAAAUUACUCAAAUAGCCAAACUGGAAAUUUUCCGGCAUCUAUACUUCAACAUUUUUGGUCCAAUCUUCCAACAUAUCAAAUGUUUCAUAGCUAAACCACUUACACGGCUUAAAUACACAUUUUUCAUGCAUUUCUAAACCAUUUUCUUCCAAGGAAAAAUUCCAGAAACAUGUUAAAAUUUCCAACUCAAGUCUCUCGGCUACUAGCAAAUUUUCCAGCAGCUUAAUUGAUCAUCAAUCCAACUUUUCCUUGGCUAAAUCAGUGUUUUAAGUACUCAAGUUCGACAUGCAAACACUUAGCUAGCUAAUUAACAUUUCUAGUUCAAAAUUAGAUUCGAAUAACAACUACAAACAUCCCAAAAAUCCAGAAAUUUGUCCAGCUAGCCUCGGAUGAACAUGCAUGUAAGCUGGUUUCAUUUUAUUUUUAUUUUUCUUGCCUAACCUAGCUAACUAUCCUCAUGCAAGACUUAAUCACCUAGUGUUUAGUUGGUUAAUCGAAAUUACAAGCUCAGAUUACUUUAAUUAAGCAAAAUUAAGUCUGCAUUUCCUAAUCAACUCUCAGCAAUUUCUAUUUCCUUCCGAAUCAGAUUUCUUAAGCUAUCAAUCUCAUCAUCCGAACGCACAAACAAUACAUGCAUGUCUUAAUCAUCUUAUUUUUUUUUUACUUAGUUAAUUACAAUUGCAUGCUCAGAUUGUCAAGAGAUAAACGAAUUAAUCUCAGCAUUAUCCCCUUAAAGUCUCGGCAAACCCACUUUCUGCGCACAUCAGAAUUUUCCUUUCCUCAAUUACUCAUCCGAACGCUUAAACAUUACAUGCAAGCUCCUUAACAUCUUCACCUACUUGUAGUUAGUCAGUCUAAGUCCAAGAUUUACCUCGAACUGAAGCUUAUACGCGUGGCACAAAAGCUGUCAAGUUUCCUCCUCUCUCGGACAGCUUACGCACUCGAUGGUUGCAGUUGUGGAGGUGCGGUUGGAACUGAUGAAGAUGGUGACGAUCAGCAGCUGGUUGAGGUUAAGAAAAUGCAGAAGGAACUCACGCAGUGUUUCUCUCCUUUCUUCCCUCUAGCUCCCGGACAGAACAGAAAAACUACAGCUCGGGGUUUUCUUUUUCUUACUCUCGGAUAUAGUAGGCAGCUCUCUUCUCACGGUUGAUACUCACGAGGUAAGGUGGAGUGGUGGUGCGAGGCUGAGAUAAAGUGGAGUGUUUGAGAGAGGUGAUUCGCAGUGAAGAGAGGUUGAGUGUUGGAGAGGUGAAAGUGAAGUGUGUUCGGCCGAAUGGAAAUGGCUAUGUUAUAAGGUUGGCCGAGAGGGUGUUGGUGUGGUUGCAUGGUAAUUUUCUGAAAUAGUGGAGGGGUAUUUCGGUCUUUUCACAUCUCCUCCUAAUUUCUACUCAAGUCCUCAAUUCUAACUUAAUUCCAAAAAUUAUCCCAAAUGUGAUUUAAACGCCUAAUUAUAUACUAACCUUGCGAAAAUUUAAUCAUUGGAAAUUUUCACGUCCGAAGUAUACUUAGUAUACUUGUAUCGAUUUUGUCUAAAAUUUAUUGAUUGCAUCUUAAUACUAAGGUUCCUCAUAACCCUUUACAUUAUUAACGAUUAAACUAGCUAUCGGAAUUUAAAGAAUUUAUUUUUAAGGAAUAAAAUUAAUUUAACUCAAGAUUUAUUAAUUUAGUAUAACAAAACCAAUUAAUUUAAUAGUUUAGCACAAUUAUAUUAUUUUUCACAUAAAAAUUAUUUUUUUUGCACUUAUUUAAAAACAAAUAAAUAAUAAAAAAAUAAUGCUAGAAUUUAUUAAAGAAUAAGAAAUGCAAAUGAAAUAUGCACUGGGGUAUAUAUAUAUAUUUCGAGGUUCUCACAGAUGUAAUUUGAAACCUAAAACAUUUUAAGGCUAGAAAUUCAGUUCACUUGAGGCUUUAUCACAUGAGAAAAAAAAUGUGAUUAAUGCUGCGCGCAUUACUUCUCAAAACUGCCAGCUUUCAUUGUUUCAUAGUUUUGAACCUCGUGCGCUGUCCAGAUCCAAUUUUAAUCAAAGCACACUGAUGCGUAUUGCAUGACAAAAGAACAGCCGCUAAGGUAUACAAAAUUGAUAAAUAAGUAUAUAGAACAGCAUAUUGACAUGAAGUAAAUCCAUGAAAGGAACCCAAAAUGUUCCAAAACUCAUGAGUAAAUGAGACAAGGCAUUUAACUACGACUUUAAACUGAACAAAGUCAAAUAAAAAUUAGUUUCAGUAAUUUGAAAAGUCAAAGAAACAUCAGUCAAAUGAAACACUGCAGAGCUUUUCUUUUUAUUUUUAUCUGCACAUUUUCCUCAGGAAUACAAAUUGUUCAGCAGCAAGGCUUAAACUUUGUAUUGAUCAGCUGAAAAGAGGAAUGAAGUAAUACAUUUGCAUGCUAUAAACUCGAAGAGGAAUUUCAAAAAUGUGUCAAUAUCAAUGAUCCAACUCCACUCAAUCCAAUUGUAGCCUAAAUGAGAUUAGACAAGUGAUUUAGACGAUACGUCAGCUUUUUCAAAGAUUUGUCAAUGUCUUGAUGUAGGAAUCAGUGCAAAGUUAUUACAUGAUCCAAUUUGUAAGAGCAAACAUGAUCCUACAUCAAGACAAGACAUAAUUAAUGGCUUUAGAGAGUAAGUCCAUAAUUUAAAUUCAAUGGGCCAAGACAACAAGACAUAAUUGUAUAAGAGCAAACUUGAUCCUACAUGCAAGUAUUAUGAAUUUGUGCAUACAAGUGAUACUGGCACCAGAGAUACGUUUACCUUUAAUUUAGAGUAGAUAAAAAGUGAAUAAUCUACAAUUACAUGAUCAACAAAGAAAAGAUCAUUAGUACAAGUGGAUGGUGCCUUUUGUUGUUUUAGCUCCAAUCUCUACUUUCACCAUGCUGUAGAAGUGAUUAACUUGUGCUAGAUCAGACAAGUAUACCUGACAGAUACAAUUUUGUAAAAUACAAGAUGACAUCAUUUGGUCUAACUAAAUACACCUGACAAAGACAGUACACAUUCUUCUUAAAAGAAAGAAUUUGGAAGGACAGAUCGACCUUUAAUUGAGGCCAAGACCAUACUUAAAAUGUGUAGUCAAUCCAUUAGACAAAUCCCUGUAUACACAUCAUAUGCACUCAAUUGUUCUGCAAAUUCUUUCAAGUGGGACAAAACAUAAAAAACUCAUCACCAGAAAAACUAUAAUCAUGCAGUAGGAUGGCCAUAGUAGCAAGUCUAAUAAUGGCUCCUAUCUGACAAUAGUUGAAACCCAUAAAAUAUCUCUAAAAUUUUUAACGCCCUUUGGUGAACCAUUGCAAUGGUUUGAACAAACAUUCUGACUCAUAGGCCUCUCACUAUAAAGACAAAUCUAGUUCGACAGGGGGUUACUAAGACUUAUAUUUACAAUUGAUAACAAAGGAGAUUGGAAAAUAAUUUUGUCAGUCACAUUGAUAAAUAGUUUGAGAAGGAUUGUCUUCAAUGAGUAAGCUUUCAUUUCAGACAGUUUUAACACUAUCUCAAUUUCACAAAAUAGUAACAAUCAAGUUCCUCGCGUAAUCACAUUUUCCAGAACUCUGCUUAAAAGUUGAACCUGUGAGAGCCCGAAAUUAAUUGUGUAAUUUAUUUAUUUGUGUAUUUAUUUAUUUAUUGAAUGUGUUGCAAUUUUCUUGUUAAUUAUCCAAUUUACAUAUUUACUUGUUUCUUGUGAUUAAACAACUCAGAAGUACCCUAAAUUAAUGUAGGAUCAAACUCUAUAGGAAUUAAUACAAUCUAGAAUAAGAAAUUAGUAGGGGCAUAAAACAAUAAUACAAAAGUGUGGGGUAAUUGUUAGAUUAAGCUCUUGACCUAUGCAUGCUUGACAAACGGAGAAACAUUAGUGCCAGGUGUGAGAUGUCUUGUUCAAGACACAAAAAUCCUAUUGGUCAAAUUUUUUUAGUCUUGCUUCUUGUCUCAUUUUCAAUCGAGAGAGGAGUAACAGGAAGCUGAGAAAAUCUUCCUUAGUCUUGCUCUUUGUCCAGCCAAGAGCACUUGAGAGAGAGUUGAGAGCAAUUCUCCUUGUCUUGUUCCAUUUCUAAUUGAGAGAAAGAGUUGAGAGAUAACUAGAGUGAAACCAGAGCUUCUUGUCUCCACUUCAACUGAGAGAGAAACUAGAGUUUCGUGCUCCAUUUGUAGCCAAAAGAAACCAGAAUUUCUUGCUCCAUUUCCAGCUGAGGAGAAAGUAGGAAGAUGAGCUGGCUUCCAGUUUGAGUUUGGGUAACAAAAUAAGGUAAAAUGGCUAGAAACCACAACCUUUCUAUAUACUUUAGAGGGAUUUUGAUGCAUGUAUGGUUUGGGGCUGGAUUGAAGUAGAACUAGGUAGUAGAAACUUGUUUCAUUACUGGAAAUUUCCCAACUUGAACCGAUAUAGAGUAAAUGCUAUUUCUUUUUAGUUUUCUUGCUUAAUCAAGGAUAAAUAUACUUGAACUCAUGAAAUAUGUUUAGUAUACUCAUUAUUUGGUGUUGCAUGUGAAUUUUAUGGUGAAAAUUUUGAUUUUUAUGGCUGGAAUUUUGAUUGGAAGUUGCAUGACUAUUAUACCAUUUUCUAGCUUAGCCGAUGGAAAUUUCUUGGAGUUUGAAUGGAUAUUUUGGUAUAAAAUUGGCUGAAAAAUGCUUGAUUCGCACUUGGUUGUGUGUGUUGAGUUGUUGGUGUGCGAUUUGUGGAUGGAAAUAAAAUUUAAAAUGGUUAAAAUUGAAAUGAAAGGUUGCUGAAAUUUCUAGAGAGAGAGAGAGAGAGAGAGAGAGCCAUGAAAGUGCAGCUCUUAUUUGCAAAUUUUGGUUGAGAUAUGUCUUCUUUCUGCUUUGCAUGAUACAUAUUGUAUGUUUAUCUUUGAAUCUAGUGGAAACUUGAUAACUUGGUUGGAGAAAAACACUUGCAGGAUCUGUUGGAAAUCUACUUGACUAGCGAAGUGAGGAAGAGAAAGAAUUUUCCAGUUUUUCCAUGAAUUUUUGGCUACAAAAAAAUUUUAGAUUGCAAUUCAAUAUAUCUUAUAACACAUUAAACGUCACAUGCAUGUUCAAUUUGAGUGAUAAAUAAAUAGUUUUGUUGAAGAAAAACUCGUUUGGCAAACUGUUUUCUUGCCGGAAAUUGUCCAGCUUUGAACUGUGGAGGAAGCUUGAACUUCCAGCUUUUAGAUGCAAAUUUUCUUGUUGAGUUUUGCUGGAAUGCUUGAUUAAUACCUCAUCUCAUGUUACAAGUCUAUUAUUGUGUGAUUUAUGGUUGAAACCAAAGUAAGAGAGGUGCUAUUUUGGUGACAAAAGUGAGGAAAGACUCCCUAGAGUUUUUCUUGCCUGAACUAUGGUGUGUGAAUUGAAAUUUCCAGCUUGUGGCUUCCAUUUUAUUGAAAUCUUUCAAAGAGAAUCAUGCCUUAUAGUCUGUGACAGCCCCACCUCUCCCUAAGGUGAACCAAAGGGUUCGGCGGACCGCCUGCCCAGCUCUCGCCGGGACUCAGUCGUUCACUUCAGUUCUCAAAUAGAUUACAAUACAAAUCUCAAAUAUAAAUCAAAUGGUCCACAAAUUCACAUAUCAUAAGUGAAACGAAUACUUCUCAAUUGCACUACAAGCUAAAACCUCAAGAGAUAAAAGCAAUACUAAUUUCCCGAAUAAAACAAAGGUCCUCAGUUCUCAUAUAAUUACAAGUACAAUUGCAGUCUCAAAUAUUACACAAAGGUCGAACUAAAACUUCAACGGUACAGAAGAUAAUCCCACCAUUCAUAUGGAGCACUUUAAUAUCAAUGCUUCCGUCACUUCAAGCCUUGUGGAGGGGAAUAAAAUAGUUUUGGAGUGAGCUAGAAGCUCAGCGAGUAACCAGUAAAAGCAGUCAUCAAAUCAGUUUCUCAAUAGUUCAUUUCAAUGAUGUCAUGAAUCAGUUUCUCGUGAGCCAGUGAAAUCAUUGUACUUAAACAUCCAACGCUCAAAUUGAUCAAUUAACAGUGAAACAGUGAUAGGGAGCUCUUUGGUGCUCAAGAUGAAUAGUAAAUAGUGGUGGGGACGUUGGUGUUCAGCACAAGACUUCCCAAGAACUCAUUGGAGUCAAAUCAUAUCAUGAACUCACAUGCAAGCACACAUGAUAUGCAAUCGAGUAAAUAAUGCAAGAAACAGUUCAUAAGUAGCUUUGGAAAUAGUUUGGGGUCACUAACCAACCACGGCUCAGGAAUCAUCCAUCAUAUAUCAUUGUCUUGCUCAAAUCCAAGCCUUAGAUCACAAACUCAAAACAAUCAAACACUCUCAAAGAUCGGACAACAUUUCCCCUUACUUUUUUUUUAUUUUUCACCCUACAAUAAAAUACCAAAUUGCAUCUUACCAACCACAAUUACACAUACGGUUCAUAAGCAAUAAAACACAUCCAAUUAGGAUCACAUGACCCUUCAAUCAAAGCCAAUUAAAAGCUUAAAAGCCUACCAUUAGAAAACCCCCAAGUUAAACCCUAGAAACCGGAAUUUCCGCACAAACCAGAAAUUUUUCACAAACAAUCGUAUUCAACUUAUACAAGCUCCAUUUUAUACCACAACAAGCUAUCAUUCCAAGACCAAUGAACCAUAAUCAUAUAAAAUUAGAAAAAUUCCCAAUAAAUCAGAAAUUGGUCCAACUCUUCUUAAAAUCAUAAAAUCAUCCACAAUAUAGUAUCUCCAACAUUUACAAGCCACUAAUUAACCAAGAUUAGAACCAAAAGAGAAUUUCUUAACAACUCACCUUAUAACUCAAGAAAGAUAGCACCUUAAAGCUUCCCCUUCCAAAACAACUCCACCAAAAGCUUUAAACCUCCUUUGUACACACUUGUAUGGAAUAUUUGCCAAAACCAUCGGUGAAAUCUCAAGAUUUGGACAAGAAAUUAAAACUAGAAAAAUGAAGAACUUUGCUCUCUUAUUUCUCUCUCAAACAGCCGGCCAAGCAUGGAGCAAAAAGUGAAGAUAUUUCAACCAAAAACAAGAUAAGAAGGAAGAAAAUCAGCUGGUCAAAAUUGAUGGCCGACAUGCCACGUCACAAUCCGGCCGGAAUUUGGCCGGAUUCAAGGCAGUGGCAAAAAUCAUUUUUUUCAAAUCCCUCAAGCCGGAUUUGGUACAAAACAUUUUCAGCAAAAAUUUUCGUUUCUUUUCCUUUCGGGCGUCACAUAGUCACUUUAGGAUAUAUUGCAUGAUUUAUGCUUGAAUCAUGAAAGAAAGUUGAGAUUUUGGUUAGAAAUCAACAUGUAUGUAACAUGUUUUGGAUGAAACUUCCAACUUUGAACCAUGGUUAAAUUCCAGCCUUUAUUUCGAAAAUUUGUUUGGUAUUUUACUGAAAAUUCUUGUCAUAUACCUUGGUUUAGUAUGAUAUUUACAGCCUUGUUUGGUAUUUGUUUUGGUGUUAUAAAUCUAAAUGCUAUAAGGAAAAAUAGAAUGAUAUCGCUGGAUUUUCUUGCUUGAAACCCGAGAGCAUGUAGCAACAAUUUUUUUAAAUUUAGCUCUAAAAUGUUGGCUGCAAACUUGCACCUUUUGGCUCCUUAAACUUUUAAUGUUUUAAUCAUGACAUGUAUGAAUACAUUCACUGGUUUUUGGGAGAAAUUUGAAGUAAUAAUGGUGAAAAAAAUUUUGUUAUAAAAAAAGGGGGCCGAGAGUGAGGGUAAGAUUUCCGACCUUAUUUCCAAGAAUUUGGUUACAAAACUCUCUUCAUUUCAACCUACAUAUUUGAUGACCCUUUUAAACUAGAGUUUUAUGUGAAUAUCCACUUGAUUUGACUAAGAUAGUUAAUAGUGACAAAAGGUCUAGUAUUUGUAGAUUCAGCAUAUCUCAGGAGUCGGUGGUGAGAUAGAAGGAAACCCUGAUGCCGAGGUGUGACUUUUCACUCGAUUUGGUGAGUGUUCUACAUUUAUUUGUAAUGAUUGAAUACUUGAUGAAUGAUAAAUGUUGAGUGCCUAGUUGACUGAUACUUGUUGGAUUAUUGACGUUUGAAUUGUUUAGAGUGAAAAAUUGGCAAUUGCUACUAUUUUACUGAAAAAUGAGUGCGUACUUCAUUGCACUCAACCUAAUGACUUUUGGAACUGUUACUGUUAACUGUGCAUGACCAUUUUGGACCCAAAUCCCAUCGACGGUCGGCCUAUUCGAGCCAACAACGGGUUCGGUCAAGUAGGUCGAUUGUGCUUGGGUACCGUUUAAUGGUAUACUCGAGUGUGGCCUACGGAGGUGAUCAUUGAACACUAGAAGAACGAAAAAUAUUGGUUACUGUUUAACUGGGGAAAUGACAUUGAAUUACUGAACGAAGAUAAGUGCUACGUCUAAAAACGAACGGGAGCCACCUCUAGAGUCUGUAUCAGUACCGUAUCGUUUGAUAUUAAUUGAUUUGUUAUUCCUAUUACAUUAACAUGUUUUAGAAUGUUAAUCGUUAUGAAACAUGUUUUUUGUUGAAAUGUGAAUUCUAUGAUUCCAUUGAAUUAACGUGAAACCUCAUUAGGCAUUAACUCAACCCCCUUUAGUUAUUUUCCUUAUAGGAGUGGAGGACGGGGUGAGAAGAAGCCGGUAGUAUAAGUUGGAGACUUGAAUGUGUGCUUAGGUGAAUUUGUACUUAACGUUAAAACUUUGCAGACUUUGUUUUGAGAGAUGUACAUGUUAAAUAGUUUAAGAUAGUUUUGUUUUUGAUAGAGAACGUACUUGAGAGUAAAUGGUUUAUUAAUAGUUUAGUCUAUAUAAAUGUUAUCUCUGAAAUUAAUGUGAGUGAGUGAGUCCUGACGAGAGCCAGACAGGCGGUCUAUUAAACCCUAGGGUUCGUCCUAAGGCGAGGUGGGAUCGCCACAUAACUACUCCCACUAUUUGAAAUAAUUCUAAAUGUAGCCAUCAUGUUUUGGCAAUCUAACCUCCUAAUUUACCAUAGGUACUUAAUCCAUCCAAGACUAUACGACAUUAAGGAUGAAUAAGCCUGCAAAAUGACAAUUCACAAUUAAAAGUUACUAAUUAAAGAACAAAUUAAAUUUGGUCUAUACCAUAAAAAACCAUAGGCCUAAAGUUGGCUUCUUGUGUUACUAAGCCUAUGGCAAGUAUCAUUUACCUUGCCUGCAAUGGCACAACCACAACAUUCACAAAACAUUAUCAUGGAAAACUAGUAAUAAUCAAACCAAUGUACUUUAAUUGCAUUAUUCAAGAUAUGAGAACCUCAAGUUACAUAAGAGUUGUUUUUUAUUUUUCAUUUUUAAUCGUUACAGAAGAAAGGGCAAAAAAUGGAAGGCGGAUCUAUCCUAUUUGACAACUUAUCACCACUAAAGGGAACAGUCAACCAACUGCCAAACUUCUAUUAACACACUUCUCAAGUCAAUAAACAUAUAAAUUGAAAAUACACCACUCAAACAACUAACCGACUUCUACCCAAAGGAUAUUUCAAAAGGCAAUAAAAUCGGGCACAAAGUUAGGAUACCUCUAUUCAAAAAUCUAAAGCUACCAGAUCAGUCAACUUUGCUAUCUUAAGCACAAAAUUGGUAGGGAAAAAGGAUUAUAUACAAAUUGUAACUCUUUAUUACAUCAGACUAAAAAGUCUAUCCAGUAAAUCCUAUUGAUAUCUCCAGAACUUGACAACCAUAUGUGACUUAAUUCCCCAAUUCGACCCCUGUCAUCAAACCUUAAGUAACUCAAAAGGUGAAAAACACUUGAAAAUCAUUUUCAUAUCCAUUUUAACAAACAUUAACAGUUAAAAUCACCAUUUUUGCUCUUUUAUAUUUGUUAAGUGGAGAAAAUGUAGAUUGCAGCCGGGGGAGGGGGAGGGUGGUGGGGGAGGGAGAGGGAGGAGAAAGGUGGCGGGAGAGAAGGGAGGAGGAGGGGAGAAAGGAGGGGAGGGAAGGAUGAGAGGGAGAGGGAGAAGAGAAAAAAAAAGAGGUGGCCCAUAUUGGGUCUUGGCUGGCGGCAAAGGUGGUGGCGGGUUGAGGUGGAAGAAGAAAGGAGGAAGGAAAAUUUUUUUUGUGUGUUUUGGGUAUUUUAAAGUGUGUAGUUUAAAAUUUUUGAGAAGAUUUUGAACUUAUUGUAGUUAAAGUUGUUAAAAAUUUGGUAGGAAACAAACUUGGCAAAAACUCACUUUGCCAAACAGGGCCUUAAUUUCCAUGCAAUAAAUUUCCCAAGCGGAGUUAAUUUGAUUUUUUUUUGGUAAGAGGAGUUAAUUUUAAUUCCUAAUAUAUAUAUAUAUAUAUAUAUAUAUUUAUAUAUGAAAGUAGCUAUUUUAACCAUAGUGUUUCUCACUCCUAUGUGACAUGCCUAAUUGAAGAGAAUUAACGGAUUAUGGAUCACUUGGAUUUUACCCAUACUAAAUCUUAAUUGGAUUAUAUUAUGUGUUUAAAAAUUAUCUCUAAUUUUAAAAUAACUUUAAAAAAUAAUUAAUCUUAUCUUAACGAUAUCUGCUUCGUAUCAAAUUAUUAUAAUGAUUAUAUUAUAUGUUUAAAAAUUAUCUUUGAUUUUAAAAUAACUUUAAAAAAUAACUAAUCUUAUCUUAAUGAUAUCUGCUUUCUAUCGAAUUAUUAUAUAAAAGUAUAGUAAAACCUUUUAAAAUCACAAUUAUUGAAAUCUUACACAUUCUAUAAAUUACUUCCUUUCACCACCAUAUCAUUGAUUAGUAUCUAAAUUGUUCAUCAUUUCUUCUUAAUUUUGCAUUAACUUAGAAUAAAAAAAAGAAUUAACUGUUACACCAAUGGAUUUACCAAUAUUAUUGAAAAUUGAAUAUUUAUUGAUGAAGAAAAAUGGAUUAAUAGAUUUUUUUCUACUUAAUUAAGUAUGAAUAUAUAAUUCUAGAUUUAUGGCCAUUAUAAAAAUUUAAAUUAUCUAAAAGAAUAAUUAUAAAAAAGAAUAUCUACUAAGUUUUGGAUAUGAGGUACAUUAUUCGAUGUAUACUAUUAUAUUACAGUGAAAGUAUGUAAACAAAUUUUUAAAAAUUAGAAAAUAAUUGAACAUUUAAAAUACAUUAAUUUUUUAAAUUAAUAUGAAUGAACAUGUAGAACUAUUGUUAAUUUUUUUUAUUUAAAUUAUUUAAAUUUGUAUAAAUUAAAAAAAAAAAACCGUGCUAAGGCAUGGGUAAAUUUCUAGUUUGAAUGUAAUAUAUUUCGCACAAUCAGAUAGUUGACCACAAGCCAGACUAAUGUCUAUGAAUUUUGCUCGCAAAAGGAACCACACACCUGAACCUGAAGAAGGAAAGUCGGCACACCUAGAGGUUGAAUAGAAAUGCCAUCAGAGUUGCUCUAAAUUACCGAAUAACUGGUCCAUUUUCACUGUAGCAACCCUGUGACGGCCCCACCUCCCCCCAGGGCGUACCCCAGGAUUUGGCGGGUCGCCUGCGCAACUCUCGCCAGAACUCACUCACUCAUAAUUCAAGAAAAAAAUAACAUACAUCCACAGAAAAUAAAUAACACAUCCACUUCAACUUAAUAUAUACAUUGAUGCUCAAAUCCAGAUACAAAGCUUCUACACACCAAAAUACUUCAAAGUGUUUACAAUUCGAGUACAAUCAACCCUAGUCGAGUGCUAGCGUGAGUACCAUUUCAAAACUUCAAAACUAGACUAUUCUGUACCAGUCUCACGCCUCACUCGUACCCCUGUAAGGAAAACAAAUGGCGUUGAAUGAGCUAAAAGCCCAGUGAGAUUCCAAAUAGCAAGUUGACUAUUAUUUAAAAGUGCAAGUAUCACGUAGCAAACUAAUGAGUAUGAAAAGUUCAUAAAAGUGAACAAUAACAUUUUAAGUAGCAAAUCUCAAAGUGAGCGAGUGUAAAGUUUUUCUUUUAAAACGAAACAAUAACACGAUAAGUACUAAUCAUUCCAAAGUAUAAGGAUACGGAUGGCUCUCAGGAGCCAAAUUCCUAUUGCAUCAUCAGAGUUUGAUCAAGUAAUAGUUGACACUCCGUCAACUUCAAGUAAGUAACCAAUCCAGUAGAGAACCAUUUAAACUACUCUCCGUCCACCAUCCAAACCACUUACCGGGCCCGUACUCCACAAUAAACAUUGGUGGUAAUACUCGAGUAUACCGAUUAGUCGAAAAGAUAACACUCCACUCGACAUCACUAACUACCCAUGGUUCGUUAUCUAAUCGACCAAACCCUUGCCGGCUCGACUCGAUUAACUAGCCAGUGGGGUUUGGGUCCCCAAGAUGUCGAUGAGAUAACAUCUCCAAUCGACUGAAUCAAAAUAAAAGUACGGAGACGGGAAUGAGAGGCACCUCCCACUCAGAUUGAGUGUGGUACAUACUGCCGCUCCGCAUUUACAAUUCAAGUACAAGUAUAUCAAUUUAAUUGAAACAAUAAACAAGUAUAUACCACAUUAGGACAAGUGCGAUAAAGUACACUCUUACCCGAUCAAACAAAUCACAUAUCAUUUAUUUACAUUGAUCAAGUAUUGAAAAUAAGUGUCCAGUUCAACCAAGUAUUUGGAAGCACUCACCAAAAUGUAGUACUUUUCAAAAAUCACGUUCAGGUCCAACUCCUUGGUUGGAGUCCAAAUCUGCGAUAAAAUAUCAUUGACGAAUGUAAAACUCUCUAGAGUUCGAAACAUAGGAGUUUCACUUCAAGAAAAUCAAGUAAAUGCAACUCAUUUAAAUAGUAUUCAAGAUACUUAUCAAAUCUCGAAAAAUUUAUGCUCGCUCGUUUAGUUUCGGUAAGGAAACGGUUAUAACUUUGGAACUCCCAUUGGAGUCGAAAGAACGAGGAAAAUGUAUUUCUAUUGAUUAUUACUUUCAUUUUUCAAGGGUAUGAGCUUCCGGCAAAAUUUUAGCUUAUAUACCCUGAUUAAAGAAAACUCGAAUACCAUAGGCGAUCCAAGUCCAACUUGACCUCAAAUCCCUAUUUAAGUCGCGAGUAUAUCUACCUAUCCCUCGAGUGCAAAUUUGGGCAGCACGCCCCUUAUAUUUACCUAUUUCCAGCCAUUUAUGGCUCCAUUUUUUUCCUCAAUCAGCCCCCAAAAUCACACACAAAUAAUCUCAUUACAAUAGCCGUUCAAUAGGAUAAAAGUCAUUCAAUUACAAAACCAAGCUAGAAAAGUGAGCGGAAAUAAGCUUUAAAGCAAAGAACAAAAUAACAAGUUUGACGUCCUUUAGCGUAUUGGUCACAAUUGAAGCUACGCUUAUUGGAUUGCAUUGAAUUUUAUACCUCUACGAAGCUAAGACAAAGGGAUACAACUUUCAUGAAGCCCACUCAAUCCGGUUCACAAUUUAUCUAGGUCAAAAGUACAGAUUACUGAACCAGAAUGUCCUUGUCAGUACGGUUGUUAGUACUGAAUUCGAAUGACGAUAACUCAGGCUACAAAAGUCCGAUCGAGGCGUUUUCAGGUGAGUUGAAAAGGUAGGACAUAACACUACAACUUUCAUGUUUUGGACAAAUGCUAAUUUGAUAUGAAUCAAGGUGAAAAAAUGCGGCCAGAAUGAUGAAAUGUCAAAACUGUCCACAGAACUCUACCUAUGGCAGUCAAGGGUAUUUUUGUCAUUUCACAUGAUACCGUGCUCGGAUUGUGCUGAAAGAUUGUAGGAAGAUAUAAAACAUCAUUUCCUACAACUUUCAUGUUUUGAGCUAAGCCUAAUUCGGCCUCCAUCAUGGCCAAAUAGAUCUGGUCCGAACAGGGUAACAUAAAAACUCAAAUAUGGAAUUUAGUGAAUUCAAAGUGUAAAUUUCGCAUUUCUAGCUUAAACCACUACUACAACUUACUAUACAAGAUUAUAUAUACCAUAUACCAUCCAAACAACAAGAAAUAUAAGUGAACAAUUCAACACCCUAACUCAAAAUUCUAUCACCACAAUCAUUAAAAUCACUUAAAAUAUUAGGUAUCACAAUGCAAGAAUACAAGUUGCUUCAUAACUUAAGCAAGACCAAGGGAAAUGGAGAAGAUGGACAGCCAUAAUACCUCAAUAAAAGGCUUCCAAGGGAUAUCCUUCACCUUUUCUUGGAAAAUUUUAGCUCCCCAAGCUUCCUAAGCUCUCAAAUUAGAAGUUAAUCGGUUUAGUUUUUUUUAUUUCUCACUCAAUCAAGCUAAGCUCAAAAUGAAAUUGAAGUUUUCUUCCUCUUGUUUUUCCCUCAAGACUCACGGCUGGAAUGGCUGAAAAUGAAGAGCAAUUUGAGUGAUUUUUGGUGUUAAAUAUGGAAGAAAUUGGUUGGUCAACAACCUUUGGAUGACCGCCACUUGUCGCCAUGAGAUUAACUCUCAAUUUUUUUCUUUUCCUUGGCCUUUUCUAGUCAAUAAUUUCGGCCAAGAUGAGUUGAGUAAGGGGCUGAUAUUUUGCACUAAUAUCAAUGAUAUUUUAUGGUAAGAAAGUAGUGGUCAAGUGGUGUGUUCAAUCGGCAGUGAACGAUACCCGUCGGUUCAAGCCAAUUUUCCUUAAAUCGCGUAUACUAGGGUUUUAACUUAUAAUUCACUAAUUUAUUAUUAUCACUUCUAAUCACACACUUAAUAUCAUCUAAAACUCACUCUUAAUCACCAAAUUUGAUCCACACUCCGUAUAGAUUAGUCACACUACGAAAAGGCGUAAAAACCCUAAUUUGCGAUAACUUGAAAAUGAAAGGGAAAAUCCUUAAUUUUAUGUUCAUUUGCACUUUUUUGUAGGGUGAUUGGGUAGUAAGGCUAUUAUAACGUAAUAAUUUCCAAAUAAAAGGGAAUUUUAAGAAAAAUAUAAGGAAAUUUUCCAGUCGUCACACUCUUUCCCCCUUAAAGAAAUUUCGUUCUAGAAAUUUUCUUACCACCAGGAUUGAUAAAACCCUAAGUUAAAUGGCAGAUCAUACCUUCUACGUUCUCUUCCCCUUUCGAUGGUCCAGGGUUGGUCUUGGUCGAUUGCCGGGUCCCUUUCCCUUCCCGUAAUAAGGCCGGACAAUUAGCAAUCUAAUGCUUGGCGCUCCCACAUCGCAGGCAUUCUCCCCCUCUUUUCCAACAACUCUCCUUAGUAUGGUUGAUUUUUUCACAAUAGCCACAGGAUAAGUGGAGGAUUGAUGUUUGAUCUCCUUGUGAGACAGCUUUCAGUUGUCCUUCUCCCCCUGAGGCUUCUCUCGGAGUAUCUUCUUUAGAUGUUCCCAAAAUUUUCACACCACUAGCUCCUCGACCUACCUUAAAGAGUGGCCUACCUCGAUCACCUUGUUCUUGAUUUUGACUUCCACUAGGUGCACCCCUUUUCUUUGCAUGGAAGCCUUUCACUUGUGCCCUUACAGUUUCUAUCCUUUGGGCUUUCUCCGGAUCCUUCGUAAAAGUAUUAAUUUAUGCCAUUGCUAAAACCUCUUUGGGAAUCCCUUCGUAUUGCCUUUUUAGUUCUAUGUUCUCGUGCAAUAGCUCAAUUUUCUCUGAAUAUUCGUGUUUCCAUUGCCCUUCCCAAUACUCGGCUAGUCUCUUUUGGACAUUUAUUUCGUUUCGAAGGAUCUCGAUUUCCUUAUAUAUAUCAUCCAAAUGUGCCAUCUCACGGAUUUACUGGGACUCAAGUGAUAGCCUGCCAGACAGAUUAAUGGAGCAGAGUAAGUAACUAAGUACAAGUGGCAAUCUAACCAUAUAACUGUUAAAUUUCUUAACUCCCAAUUCAACCACGAAAGAUCAAAUGAAAUAGACGGGAAAGUAAAAUAUAAUUAGAACAAUAUCUUAAGAUACUAUGCCACGUAUCACGUAUGUAUAUAACAAAACCUUAAAGCAUAUUUCGCACAUCAAAAGUUUCAAACCUUAUGCCACAUCCGUGUUUUAACAAUCUCUCUACCUAACUCCAAAGCUUUCACUCACGGUACAAUAAUAAUCAAACUAAGUUCAUACGUUGACAGUAGUGAAUAGGUAUCAAGGAAGCAUAAACAAGGGUAGUUCGUCGAGAACCAAGUUACAAGUAUCAAAUAUUCAAAGCGAGGUAUAGAUACCUAUAUCAUGGCAGUCAGACCGUCUCGAAUCAAGUAAACACUUUUCUAGACCUCACGUUUAUAGAAGAAAGAAAUAGAUCUUCGGUGCGAAUUUCUUGACAUAUACUACAACUUAAUCAUACUCUAUAGGAACCCUAGCCAGACUAUUACUCGAUUCGUCCAUGAUAACACUCCUAAAUCCAAUCCCCUCUAUCAGUCUAUUUACUAGACCAAAUGUUAGGAUCUUCCAUGCCUUUACCUUCGCCAUCAAAACUCACCUCAAGUGCAGUCAGGAUACAGGCCUUUAUUCUAGUGGUUUCACUACUGGAUAUUCAGGUACAAGAAUCCACAAUAAGGUAAUUCACAACUCGAGCCGGCCGGUCCCAAGAGUAAAUCACCCGUAUUAGAGAUUCCUACCCAACAUACAUAUUUAAGGUCCCCAACAAUAGACCUUUAUUUCACAAUUAAUAAGCCAAUCCCCAGAGUCCGAGAACCCUCUCCCGGCACAAGCUCGAUAGGAGCUCUGAUACCAUCUGUGACGGCCCCACCUCCCCCUAGGGCAUACCCCAAGGUUCGGUGGGUCGCCUGCCCAACUCUCGCCAGGAUUCACUCACUCAUAACUCAAGAAAAAAAUAACGUACAUCCACAGAAAAUAAAUAACACAUCCACUUCAACUUAAUAUAUACAUUGAUGCUCAAAUCCAGAUACAAAGAUUCUACACACCAAAAUACUUCAAAGUGUUUACAAUUCGAAUACAAUCAACCCUAGUCGAGUGCUAGCGUGAGUACCAUUUCAAAACUUCAAAACUAGACUAUUCUGUACCAGUCUCACACCUCGCUCGUACCCCUGUAAGGAAAACAAAUGACAUGGAAUGAGCUAAAAGCCCAGUGAGAUUCCAAAUAGCAAGUUGACUAUUAUUUAAAAGUGCAAGUAUCACGUAGCAAAGUAAUGAGUAUGAAAAGUUCAUAAAAGUGAACAAUAACAUUUUAAGUAGCAAAUCUCAAAGUGAGCGAGUGUAAAGUUUUUCUUUUAAAACGAAACAAUAACACGAUAAGUACUAAUCAUUCCAAAGUAUAAGAAUACGGAUGGCUCUCAGGAGCCAAAUUCCUAUUGCAUCAUCAGAGUUUGAUCAAGUAAUAGUUGACACUCCGUCAACUUCAAGUAAGUAACCAAUCCAGUAGAGAACCAUUUAAACUACUCUCCGUCCACCAUCCAAACCACUUACCGGGCCCGUACUCCACAAUAAACAUUGGUGGUAAUACUCGAGUAUACCGAUUAGUCGAAGAGAUAAUACUCCACUCGAUAUCACUAACUACCCAUGGUUCGUUAUCUAAUCGACCAAACCCUUGCCGGCUCGACUCGAUUAACUAGCCAGUGGGGUUUGGGUCCCCAAGAUGUCGAUGAGAUAACAUCUCCAAUCGACUGAAUCAAAAUAAAAGUACGGAGACGGGAAUGAGAGGCACCUCUCACUCAGAUUGAGUGUGGUACAUACUGCCGCUCCGCAUUUACAAUUCAAGUACAAGUAUAUCAAUUUAAUUGAAACAAUAAACAAGUAUAUACCACAUUAGGACAAGUGCGAUAAAGUACACUCUUACCCGAUCAAACAAAUCACAUAUCAUUUAUUUACAUUGAUCAAGUAUUGAAAAUAAGUGUCCAGUUCAACCAAGUAUUUGGAAGCACUCACCAAAAUGUAGUGCUUUUCAAAAAUCACGUUCAGGUCCAACUCCUUGGUUGGAGUCCAAAUCUGCGAUAAAAUAUCAUUGACGAAUGUAAAACUCUCUAGAGUUCGAAACAUAGGAGUUUCACUUCAAGAAAAUCAAGUAAAUGCAACUCAUUUAAAUAGUAUUCAAGAUACUUAUCAAACCUCGAAAAAUUUAUGCUCGCUCGUUUAGUUUCGGUAAGGAAGCGAUUAAAACUUUGGAACUCCCAUUGGAGUCGAAAGAACGAGAAAAAUGUAUUUCUAUUGAUUAUUACUUUCAUUUUCCAAGGGUAUGAGCUUCCAGCAAAAUUUUAGCUUAUAUACCCUGAUUAAAGAAAACUCGAAUACCAUAGGCGAUCCAAGUCCAACUUGACCUCAAAUCCCUAUUUAAGUCGCGAGUAUAUCUACCUAUCCCUCGAGUGCAAAUUUGGGCAGCACGCCCCUUAUAUUUACCUAUUUCCAGCCAUUUAUGGCUCCAUUACUUUCCUCAAUCAGCCCCCAAAAUCACACACAAAUAAUCUCAUUACAAUAGCCGUUCAAUAGGAUAAAAGUCAUUCAAUUACAAAACCAAGCUAGAAAAGUGAGCGGAAAUAAGCUUUAAAGCAAAGAACAAAAUAACAAGUUUGACGUCCUUUAGCGUAUUGGUCACAAUCGAAGCUACACUUAUCGGAUUGCAUUGAAUUUUAUACCUUUGCGAAGCUAAGACAAAGGGCUACAACUUUUAUGAAGACCACUCAAUCUGGUUCAUAAUUUAUCUAGGUCAAAAGUACAGAUUACAGAACCAGAAUGUCCUUGUCAGUACGGUUGUCAGUACUGAAUUCAAAUGACAAUAACUCAGGCUACAAAAGUCCGAUCGAGGCGUUUUCAGGUGCGUUGGAAAGCUAGGACAUAGAACUACAACUUUUAUGUUUUAGAAAAAUGAUAAUUUGAUACAGAUCAAGGUGAAAAAAUGCGGCCAGAAUGAUGAAAUGUCAAAACUGUCCACAGAACUCUACCUAUGGCAAUCAAGGGUAUUUUUGCCAUUUCAUGUGUUACAGUACUAAAAUUGAGCUGAAAUUUUGUAGACAGAUAUAAAAUAUCAUUUUCUACAACUUUCAUGUUUUGAGCUAAGCCUAAUUCGGCCUCCAUCAUGGCCAAAUAGAACCGGUCAGAACAGGGUAACAUAAAAACUCAAAUCUGGAAUUUAGUGAAUUCAAAGUGUAAACUUCACAUUUCUAGCUUAAACCACUACUACAACUUCCUAUACAAGAUUAUAUACACCAUAUACCAUCCAAACAACAAGAAAUAUAAGUGAACAAUUCAAAAGCCUAACUCAAAAUUCCAUCACCACAAUCAUUAAAAUCACUUAAAUUAGGUAUCACAAGGCAAGAAUACAAGUUGCUCCAUAACUUAAACAAGACCAAGGGAAAGGGAGAAGAUAGACAGCCAUAAUACCUCAAUAAAAGACUUGCAAGGGAUAUCCUUCACCUCUCCUUAGAAAAUUUUAGCUCCCCAAGCUUCCUAAGCUCUCAAAUUAGAAGUUAAUCGGUUUAGUUUUCUUGAUUUCUCACUCAAUCAAGCUAAGCUCAAGAUGGAAUUGAAGUUUUCUUCCUCUUGUUUUUCCCUCAAGACUCACAGCUGGAAUGGCUGAAAAUGAAGAGCAAUUUGAGUGAUUUUUGGUGAUAAAUAUGGAAGAAAUUGGUUGGUCAACAACCUUUGGAUGACCGCCACUUGUCGCCAUAAGAUUAACUCUCAAUUUUUUUCUUUUCCUUGGUUUUUUCUAGUCAAUAAUUUCGGCCAAGAUGAGCUGAGUAAGGGGCUGAUAUUGUGCACUAAUAUCAAUGACAUUUUAUGGUAAGAAAGUAGUGGUCAAGUGGUGUGUUCAAUCGGUAGUGAACGAUACCCGUCGGUUCAAGCCGAUUUUCCUUAAAUCACAUAUAGUAGGGUUUUAACUUAUAAUUUACUAACUUAUUAUUAUCACUUCUAAUCACACACUUAAUAUCAUCUAAAACUCACUCUUAAUCACCAAAUUUGAUCCACACUCCGUAUCGAUUAGUCACACUACAAAAAGGCGUAAAAACCCUAAUUUGCGAUAACUUGAAAACGAAAGGGAAAACCCUUAAUUCUAUAUUCAUUUGCACUUUUUUGUAGGGUGGUUGGGUAGUAAGGCUAUUAUAACAUAAUAAUUUCCAAAUAAAAGGGAAUUUUAAGAAAAAUAUAAGGAAAUUUUCCAAUCGUCACAAACCCAACUCUCACUUUUAGUAUAGUAACUAGUGCGACGGCCUGCGCGAUGCGCAGGGGGACUAAUAUUUCCCUUGUUAAUUGUUUUUUGUUGUAUGAAUUUAUUAGUAUAUAUCUAUAUUAUUAUUUAAUUCAUGUGAAUCAUUAGGGAAUUAUAAUUUUUGUUAAAAGUUAAUUGUUAUGAAAUAUAUAGAAUGCAUGAGGACGCUUAUAUAGAAUGCAUAAGGAUAAAUUAGAAAAUUGUAUAAGGUUAUUUUGCAUUUGGAUUAGGAUAAUUAGAAAAUUGUAAAGUGAAUCAUUCCCGAAGAGUAUUAAUCAUUGUUAACACAAAAAAUAGGGGAUCCCGAAAGUCAAUUAAGCACUUGAACCAUAGAACUUGACAUUGCUAAAAAUAAAUCACCACAUGUCACAGUAAUAAAACCCAUUUUUAAAAGUUACUAAAGCCAACAAUAGUUUAUUAAUUGUUUCCUCAAUAAUUGUGCAUUUACAGAACACUUAACAAUUUUAUUUCAUGUCACAGUAAUAAAAGCCAUUUUUAAAGUCACUAAAGCCAACAACAAUUUAUCAAUUAUUUCCUAGGUAAUUUUGCAUUUCCAGAACACUUCAAAGGCAAAUAAUUAACCACAAAAAAUCAACUUUCAUAGGUUUCACUUUUUACACCACCAAUUACGAAUUCAGUCAACAUGUCCAAUAAAUGCACCAAAACUAUAGAAACUGUUAACAAACAAACAGACAAUUGAUGAAAAUAGCCCUAACAUCUAAUAACAAUUGCAGGAUAAUCGCUUGACAAAAAAAACACUGUGCAUAGGGCAACUUUUCUUUUUAUAUUGUUAGAUAUGUAUAUCUCUAUUACUCACUAAGUUCGAUAACUAUAGGCCUAUUUCUUUUUCCAUUAAUAUUAGAUCAUUAAUCCACAGUAAAAGACAUGUAUUAUUACAUAAUUUUUCAAAUUUAGAGUACUUUAAUUUUCAAAUGUAAGAAAUAAUCUAAUUAAUGUUACAUGUUUAAAUAAAUAAUAUAAAAAGAUUAGCACACAACAUCGCUUUUCAAUUUACAGCAAUUUAGAGCCAUUAGAAAGAACAAAUAUGUUAAAAAUUUUAUAAUAAUUAUAUAUACACUAAACAUGGAUAUAUUAGUAAAAUAAUAAACUAAUUAUUCUUUUAAAAAGGAAAUAGACUCAUAAUCUAGCACACAUAGAAGACAAAAGUAAGCUCAUGUUUAUAGAAUAUAUAUAUAGAAUGAAAAGUAUAACAAUAAAAAUAAGGGAAUUAAAACACCUAAGGCUAAACUAAUGCUCAUAAAUAGCUAAGGUGGCCCAUCUCUACGGAUCACAAGGGGCAAACAUGACUCAAACAAAAGGGGAACAAAGAACAAAUAAAUUACAAAGGAACCACAAUACUAUAGCAUGCAUCUUCCGGUGUCCUGAGUGAGGGAGAAACAGCAAAUGACAUUACCGAAAAAUGAAGCACCACUAAGGCUAAUGCUAAUCACAUGAAGAGGCCCAUGCGGACAGAAGUGAAUUUCCAGCAAAACCAUUGCCAUCCAAUGCCAAAAGACCAAAACGCGCCUCAAAGUCACCAAAAUAACGGCAUAACCGCUUGAUAAAAUGGCAUUAUUCAAAACCCAACUCUCUCUUUUAUAUCUUAGAUGAUAUGCGAGUUUAGAUACUAAAGUUUUGGUAAGAACAAAUCCGAUUCCCAAUUUAUUUAACUAAAAGCAGAUUUAGGACAUCUAAAGAUUUUCAAAAACACUUUAGUCAUAUGCAAUUAUGUGUCAGUUAAAUUGAAUUUAAUAUAGAGAAGCAAAAUAGUAGCUAAUUUUAAAGAUAAGAUUAAGGUGUAAUAACUCACAUGCUAACUCAUUAAUCAAUAAAAAAGAAAAAAUAAAUUAAUUAAACUACAAAAAUUUUCUGCGUAUUUCUCUAUCCCUAUUGUCUCCAAGCAAACAAUCCUAACAGUCAAUCUUUACAUAUGGUUUAACAAGUUUCCUUUUUUUUUCCCAUUUCUUGUUUAAUUAGUUACAUGCUAUUACAUGAGUUAUUCUUAUAGUUUAAAGUUGGCCGCUCUCAUUCUUCUUUAAAAUAAAAUUAAAUUUAACAAGUACGCAAAUGCACGUAACUGAUUCCUCAAUAAUUGGAAAAUCUAUCAAUUCUAUUAAUCUGCUCCGCAUUGAAAACAUUUGGGACCAGAUUUAUUUUUUGUCAAAAUUUCAAGGACUUAAAUUGCACCAGAUACUAAAAAUUGGGGACCAAAGUUUUUUUAAACUUUAGAAACUAAAAUUGAACAUGUGCCAAACAUUAGAGACUAAAACUAAAUUUCUCCAUUAAUUUAAAAGACUUUUUUCUUUACUGAUUUUUGCAUGGGUUGCUAAUGUGUACUCUAUGGUACAUCAAGAUUAUAUAUAUGUAUGAUGUGGUAUGUCAACAUUACUUAUAAUUUACCACUUAUAUGCAAACACUCAUAUUUGCUAUUUUUCUUACUUUUAGACACUUUUUUUUGUCAUUUUGAUUGACAUCUUGGACAAAUCUUCAUUGUGCUUACAAGUAAAUUGCACUUCAUUCCUUAAAUACAUUUUACCAUCACUUUACUUUGUGAGUAAUUGUCAAAGCUUUUGCUAGAUUUUUCAUGUAUGCCUAAAUUAAUUUAUCCAUCUUUUUUCUUUUUUUCUUAUUUUUUCUUGCUUCUCUCAUAAAAUUACAUAUUUUUUCUAACUGUCAUUGUUCGUAUAUUUACAAUGUAAGUAUAGUAUAUCUUUAGCGUGCAAUUGUGAAUUUAUUGUGCCCUUUUUCUUCAUUUUGUUUCACUACACUUAAUUGAUUAGUCAUGGGCUUAAUUUGUUUGUUUAUCCAUCCCAUUUUGUUUGUCAUGGUCAACUUUGCACGCAAUUUAAAAUUUUUAUUCUUUGACCAACCAAUGAAUAUCUCUUUCCAUGAUUAUCCCUUCAUUUAAAUUCAAAUUUCAUUAUUUACUUAAAAAUUUCUGAAUCAUACAAUGGAUAGUUAGAGCAUUUAAUUUUAUAAAUUGACUUUAAUGCACUUUUUGGAAAAUUGACAGAAGAAUAAAAUGGAAAGGGUAGUCUUUUUUCAUUUCCUUUUUUAGACUAGAACAAAUAAUUCGGGACAAGUCAAAAUAGAAGUCAAGAAUAAUAAAAUGAGAUGGAAGAAGUACAUCAAUUAUUUUUCCUUUAGAUAUGCUUGGACAUGUAUUAAUAGUAAAUUUUAUUUCAAUCAAGAUCUCUAUUGGAUUAUCGACUAUGAAGAAUAACAGAUAAAGAAAGUACCAUAAAACUAAAUGAAUAAGUUAAAAAUUAAAAGAACAAGUAGAUUUUAUGUUCAGAAAUAAAAAUAGACAGAAUGAACUGAUGGCAUGAGAGAAACAAGACACUAAAGAAAGAAUAAUUAAAUUAAACUAGAAACUUAACAUUCAAGAGCAUACAACUUAUUAUACCAUUCUUUAAAAUGAAAAAUCUAAAAAAAUUAAAUUAACCUAUUAGUAAAAAAUGGGCAAAGUGUCAUCUUCUAAAUUGAUGUUCCAAUUUCUUCUUGACAUAGUUUCCCAUAAUUUAUGCCUUUUUCAAAGAAAAACUAAAAUAUUAGAGAGAGGAACCUUGAAUAAAGUACAAAAUUAUUCAAAUUAAACCUUUACCCUUUCAGUAGAUUUGUGUUUAUGAGAUCAAAACCUCGACUUUUACAAAAAAGAAAUUUAAAAUAGUGAUUUUUGACUGUCGGACAUCCAUUCCUACGGACAAUAGUCUAAACAGUCUAUCCAACAAAAGGUCAGUAACUAUUUAGAAUUUUUUUGGUAUAGCCUUUGAAUGCACAUUUUAGCAUUUAGCCAUUCAAACAUCGUCUUUUAUUCAAAAUUCAUAAGCCUAUGUAUGCAUUUUGCCCAAAACAACCUCAACGUUCUAUUGUGUGAACUGAAACCCUCAUUUUAUUAUCUCUCUCAAAUUUGUGGAUUUUUAGCAAAAUUUAACCCAAAUCGAUUGCAAACUCUUGUUUCUAACCCUUGAAGCACCUUUCCUUAACAAAAUUUCCCCUCAAAACAUUCAUUUCAAUCAAAGCUAAAAAUUCCCGCUUUUUCCCAAAUCUUUAAACUCUUGGAUUUUGGUGUUUUUGUGUAAUUUUGUUUGUGUUAUCUCACUCACAGACAUCCUUAGACCUAGUAUUGCACAAAUGGCAAGGAUUGGAAGCUCUUCAUCGCAAGACCGUGGAAAGGGACCUGGCAAUGCUUCUAGUAGUGAAACUAUGGCUUAACACACUCCGAAAGGACGUGGAAAUGGCUCUAAAUCAACCCGAGGGGCUCAACUACAAUUAUGGAAAUUCAUUGAUCCAAUGGUAGAUGAGAGGUACUCAGUUUUGUUCCAAAAAUGUUAUAUCACCCAACAUUCAAUUAGUACAUCUGAUUUUAAGAAAUUCAAGUUAGAUUGGGUUCUUGAAAAGUUUGCCUUUCAAAAAUGGUCUCAUGUAUUGCAUUUUUCUCAUGUCAUUUACCCAUCCAAUGGUUACUCAAUUCUAUGCUAAUACUUUUAAAAAUGAUGCUAUGGACGUUGUUAUUUUUCCAACCAACAGCAUUGAUAUUCAUCUCACUCCCCAAAUUGUGAAAUACUACUAUUAAGAGUGAAUGGAAAGGUAAAGUGGAAAAUUUCUUUUCUCAUGAAACUAUAUCUGAUGAAUUUAAUCACUAUCAUGAGAGCAAGCUGAUGACCUAUUUUACUACUAUUUUUCAAGCCCCUGGUGAUGCUAAUUUAGAUGAGUUAAAACCUCUUCAUCAUAUGUGUUUUAUUGUAGUGUCAAAUGUUCUUGUUCUUAUAGUGGCCAUAGGAAUGAAGCAAACAAAAUGAAACUUCAACUUUUUCUAUUUUGUUAAAUAAAAAUAUUAGAAUUGAUUUUGGGUUCAUCAUGCAUUAUUUUAUGAACAAAAUGGGGACUAAUAAAAGCCAAAAUUGUCCUUUGUAAAAUAUCUCACUUUUAUUUUUUAAUUAUUUUGGCGUUCCCCUAGUUGGUGCGUUACAAAAGAAAAAGAGCAUUCACUCUUAUACAAAAUCUUUUGAGCAUAAAAAUCUCGAGUUUCAUAAAGGUGAAUGGCUUACUUUAACCCAAUUUCAAAAGCUUGCAGUUCAAAAUCCCUCACUCAUAGCCUCUUCUUACAAAUGUGCUGAACAUCCUAGAAUAAUAAAUCCUUUUCUAUCUCAAUCCACUGCUUUACUCACUCCGUAUCCUAGGUAACCAUGUUCAUCUACUCAUUCUCAUUUGAGUACUUCAUCUCAAACCUCGGGAUCGAACCAAAUGGUCACUAUUAUUCGAAUUGAAGAAGCACAUGAUUGUUAAGGAAUAAGGACUUCAAUUGGUUAUGACUCUAGAUCAAAAGUUUUAAUAGCUUCAAUUAUGAAGAUAUUAUGGUCCUAAAUCAUCUAGUUUUGAUAAUUAACAAACCAAUCAUAAAGUACUAAUGGUUUACUUGAAUAUUUGUUGAUAGAAUUGAGCCAACAAAUGAGUGAGAAGUGAUUAAAAAUUGUUUGGAUAAUACUAACAAUGAAUAAAACAUGCCUAGAAGAUGACUAGAUCACGAGAAUUGAAGACUUGAAAUAGUUGCGAGAUGUCAAUAAAAAUAUCAACCAACCCGACGCCUAUUCUUGCUCAACCGGAUGAGCCUUCUUCAAGAUCCAGAUGUUCGUAUGCUUAGAAAUGCAAAAAUGGAAGCUGAAUAGAAUAGACCGGAUAACCUAGCAAAUGCAAUCUGGAUGCACAACCGAAUGCAUAAGGGACCCGGACGGGACCUCCGAUUGAUAGUUUUUGUCUCUAAUGGCUAGUUUUUUCUUGCAUUAAUUAUUUGACACUUGGAAGCCAUUUUAAACCAUAUUUUCACUGUCUAUAUAAGUCUUCAAGUCUAAAAUAGUUUGGACCACUUGCCUACAAGAUUACAAGUUUUGAAGGAGUAAUUUUGAGGGAAAAUACUCUUGUGUGUGAGUGUACUUGUAAUCUUAGUGAUGAUGAAAAAUAUAGUAGCUCUUAAUUGGUUGAGGGCAUUCAAUUGUAACAUAGUGAAAGUUAACUUGAGUAUAGUGGUAAAACUCUUUGACUCAACUAAAAGAUGUUUAAGGCGAGUAAAAAGUGAGCUUUCUUAUGUACAAGGUGGUUUCAAUUGAAGAAGUUACUAGUGGAUUCAACACCAACUUCAGAAGGAGUUUGGGAGUUUGAUUGGUUUGGAAUCCUUUUAUUUUAUUUUUCACUUUUCUUUUAUCUGAUUGUGUGGUUAAAUUACUUCAGUUUUAUUGCUAUUUUGUAUGCUUGAGUGGGUGAUCACUUAAGUUAUUUUGGAUAGUUAAAAUUGGAUGAAUAUUUGUAAUUAUUUGCUUAAUUUGUAAACAACCUAAUUUACCCCUUUUUAGAUUACUUUGGACCUUACAAUUGAUAUCAAAACUUGAUCUCCUAGAUAUUAAACUCAACUAGUUUGAGAGUGAAGAUCAUUAUGGCAACCAAUUUCUUGUUAAGUAGAUCCAUAAAUGGACCACCGAUAUUUAAUAGUAAAAUUUAUGAUGUGUGGAAGAAUAGGAUAGAAACCUUUAAUAAAUCUAUUGAUUUUUAGUUGUAGGAUAUUAUUGUAGAUGGUCCUUAUAAAGCUUUAAUCAUAAAGAAAGGAAAAACUAGAGAAAAAACUAAGAAAUAGUUGAAUGAGAAUGAUAAAAAAUGUUGGCAUAAAACAUACAAGUAUGGAUAUUCUUUUAAAGUUUUGGAUGAAAAUGAAUUAAAAAAAUAAAAUAUUGUAAAAGUACUCAAGAAAUUUGGAGAAUAUUAGAAAAAUCUAUGCGAGUAAAAUUCCUAAUUUUAGUGAAAAAAAAGGAAAAAUGUACAACAUCAAAAUCUUGUGAAGAGGAAAACAUUGACGGUGUAAUUACCAAAAAGGUUGUUAGAAGUUUGUAUGAAAAGUUAAGAAGAGCCAAUGAAUUGAAUAAGUGAUGACCCAGAAAACUAUUUUUCUCACAUCCCAACUAUUUGCAUUUUUAUUUAAAUUAUACUUUUAUAAAGUUUGCAUUCAUUUAGUGAUUUACUUGUUAAUUGUUAAAUGAGUUUCUUUUACUGGCUUAUUUUAACCUUCGAGUGAUUAAUUUCUUAAAAAUAUUUAUAGUAUUUGAUUUUACCAAAUUUUUGGUAUCCUCAUCUAUUAAAAUGUAAUUUUAUAUCUUAGUUAAAUUUUAUUGUUAAUUGCCCGGUUAUCGUUUGGUUAGCAUUAAGUGUGAAAUUUUGAAGUGGUGACGUGGAAUUUAGUCUUAAGAUAAAAUCUAGAGCAUGUAGACACUUUAAAGAAAUAGAAAAAUUAUAGGAUAAUGUUGGUUGAGGAAAAUCUAGUUUUGGAUAAGAUGUUGCAUAAGAAUGCGACACAUAAGCGAGUAGGUGAGUUGGUCCCCUAUCACACUUUAAAUGAAGAAACUAGAGUUGAGAGUUCAUUCUCUCUCUUCCCCUUAAGUCAACCGAAAUUUUGAGAGAGAGAGGGAGACUUGAGAGCUCUCCAUUUCCUCCUCCAUCUUGCUCUUGAGGAUCACUUGAAAACCCAUCAACCAGCACAAAAUUUUCUUCUUCUCUUUCUUCUUUUCUUGUUGAGGGCCGAGAGAGAGAGAGAACCGAGGAGGAGAGACAAAGCUGAGAGAGAGAGAGAGACAGAGACAGAGAGAGACACAGAGAGAGACACAGAGAGAGAGAGAGAGCAAUCAAGAGAGAAGGGACAUCCUCCAUCUUGCUCCUGUGGAUUUGUAGAAGAAAUCACCUAAUCAACCUAGAUGAUUUGACCUUUCUUAAGGAAACUUGAAGGGUGAAGGUUGGAAGGAAAUUUUGAGGUUGAAUCACACUAGAUCUAGUUAGAUAUUGAGAUAAGCACCACAAAUCACCCUUAAUUUUUAAUUUCUAGCCAUGGGUAUGUUAGAUUCACUUGAUUUAAGUAAGAUCUAUGGUAGAUCUAGUAAAUUUCUUGAAGUUAUAUCACUAGAUGUUCUAGUGGUUAAAAUGCUAGUUUAGUUCUUAAUUUGUUGGUUGGAUUUGCUUGGAAAUUAUCUUUUGAUGACCAAUGGCUAAUGAUUGAUGAAGCCCAUAUGGAUUUGAGUGAGUUUUGUUGACUAAAUGGUUGUUUUGUUGGUGAAAAUGGAAGAAAUCUCUAUGUCCACCAAAUGUUUGAUCUUUUGUGGAGGGCUGUUUAUGUGCAAAUUUUCAUGAUUUUUCUUGCUAAGAAUCUUGGCUAUAUAUUGUUUGAUAUGUUCAUGGAUUUGUUAUGGAAAAAUUUGGAAGAUUUGAUGGAGAAAUAUUUGGAAAAUUCUUGUGGAAAAAAUUCUGCCUUGGCUGUCCAAAACAGGGGAAGAUAUUCUAGCCUUGAUUUCUACUUUUUCGUAAUAUUUUUGGGCAAGUUCUUGUUCAAGAAACUAUUAAAAUAUCACUCUUUAUUUAUAUGUUGAAUUUGAACCAAAACUAUGAAUAUCUUUCUUGUUGGAAAGUUUGCAAAAUGGAUUGAAACUCAGAGAGCAUUUUCAGUCAAUUUGUCAGAUUUUCUGGUAUUAAUUGAAAAUGAAUUAGAGUCUAAAUUUUAUAUCAUUGGAAAGCUCUUUGAGUCUAGUUUCAAAUGCAACUAACGGCAUUCGAUUUCGAUUUUCCACAUUGAAUUAAAGCUGUUUUCCCGAUACUGCUCAAAUGCCUUGAUAUGACGCGAUAGCUUUCUUGUGCCUCUGUGAUUGCUAAUUUUGACGAUGAAAAUGCGUGAACUGAAUUUGGAUGUCUUCAUAAGAAAUGUAGAUCUGUGUCUUAGCUUCGAAACGCCAUAAAAUUCAUCUCAUUCGAUAAGUGUACCUCCAGUUAUGAUCAAAAUGCCGAGAGGUGUCAAAGCUGUUAUUUUGAUUCUUCUCAUUUGCACUCUUUCCUUCCCUUUUCUUGGUUCAAUUUAACAUUUUUCACUCUAUAUUAUAUCUGAACCAUUGACCUAACGGUGGAUGGGGAUUCGUGUCAAAUGAAUUCUACGGACUUGUUACUUGCGUGGUUGGUGGAGUGUCAACAAAAGAAAAUGAUAUCCAAAAUCGUGAAAUGGCAAGCUUGUGGAUUAGCUCAUUAGAGCUCCUGUAUUCUCUUAAUGAACGUGUUUUAGUCCUUUUGUGGUUUUACAUGAAACUAUUGUUGUUAUUCUGUACAUGUGUUACUUGAGUUGAAUUAUGGUGCUUGUUUCAUUUUCUUGCUUGCUUUUUCGGCCUCACUGAGCCUCCGCUCAUCCCUUUAAGUUUGUCAUUCUUUGACAGGAAUUUGAAGUGAAGAAUUGGAGGCGCUAGACUAAUCAACUUUUGUUUAGAGUUAGUGUAAUUCCCUGAGCGACUUUUGGACAUUUGGAAGUGUAGAUUUCAUUUGUAUUUGAUAUAUUAUGGUUGUAAUAGUUAACGCUAUUGCCUAAGGAUUGUGGCUGUUGUUAUUCAAGUAUUUUCUUAGUUUUAAAAAAUUGUUUGGCUUGAAAAUCUUGAUUGAGUUCAAGGGAUUAAGUAAGUCCUGACGAGAGUUGGGCAGGCAGUCCGCUAACCCUAAGGGAAGGUGGGGCUAUCACAGUUGGUAUUAGAGCUUUAGGCUUCAGAUCUUUGUAGUGUAUCCUAGACUUGAAGUUUAGGAUGUCAGGCUGUGGGAUUAACUUGAAUAUUACAUGAACCGGAGAACCUACUAUAUCUUAGUGGUUAAAGAGAAUUGUUACUUGAGAGUUUCUUAUAUGGGAUUGGUGGAAACAAAACUGAGGAAUUAUGUGGUGUUACAUCGAAAGGAAACAUUAUGUGAGAGAUUAGUAGUGAAAGAUUGGAUGAGAAUCGAAUUAUCUUUGUACUUGUAGGAAUGGAAGGAAUCGGUGCAAAUAUUGGUAUUAGCUGGAGAUAAGAAACCGAGAUUUGCUAGUUAAUUCCACAUAUGAUGGUUUUGAACCAAAACAAAAGAGUUUUCAAAGGAAUAAAAUACAUUUUUCACCUAUUUACCUACUGGAAAAUUUCCGUUUUACUAAGAUGUACUAGUUUUAUUUUCAAACGAUGGUUGAAAAUAACACCUAUAUGCUCCAAGUACUUUAUAACAUACCAAUCUUGACAAGUAUGCGAAUUCCACUUGAUUUUUAAAGCUAGAAAUUGGUGAGCAAUUGAUGAGUUUUGUUGAAUUUUUAUAUAUGUUGGACCGGAGAAAGAGGUUGAAGUUUUCUAACCAAGUCUUCCAAUUCUUGAUUGUACACUAAUAUAUUCUCGCACCUGAAUUUGCCUAUGCUUUGAACAAGAAAUCCUUGAGUUUUUGGAAGAAUUGCGAACUUGGGCUCUGGUAAUGUAAGUCCUGGAUUUGAUGAGAUUUUGUUACUUUGAUUGCUCUUCUUACGUUUUCAAAAAGCUUAUCCGAGAUUUGAAUAUGAAAUUCUUGGUUUUCAAGAAGAGAGCCUAUUUUCAGGUGUAAGAACUGAGGGAGUUUUGAAGAUGUAGAGUGAUCGCAUCCGAGAGCUUGAAGUUAGUGUGAUCGAGGAGCAAGAGUGUACUAAUGAUUUCGUGGAUAGUUCUAGGAGUUCCAUAACUGCAUUGACUAAAGGGAAAGACUGUUUAGAGAUAAAAUGGAGAGGCUAAAGUUUGAUAAAGUGUAAUGGUGAAGGUUAGGACAUGAAAGAUCUGAGUGCUAGAUCUAAGACUGAACAAAUUAAAGAGAUUGGAUUUAUGAAGAUUGUCGUGGCCUAGGUGAGUAAAUCCCUGGUUAGGAUUUCUAUCGAUGGUGGCUUGAUUUGAAAUUUGAUGCUUGUCUUGAAUGUGUAUUGUGCUAGCACUGCAGACUUGCUUAAUUUCUGAUAUAUUUGGACUUGUAUAUGUUUACUUGUACUUGUUGUGAUCAUAUGCAUCAAUCUUGUGAAAUCUGAUAAUUGUACUUUGGAUUACGAUUGACUAGUAUUGCAUCUAUGAUUACGUGAUCCUUGCCCUUUUAUACCUAUAUUGCCUUAGACUUGUGUGAGAAAUGGAAACCGGAGAAUGGCGUUGAGGAUAUAGAUAGUAUAGAAGUGUGGUUUAAAGAUAUAUGUUGAAUAUAUUGGUGUCGGAUCAUGAUGUGAGUUAGUCAUUGUUUGGGUUGCGAAAUAACUUGAUGAUUCAUUUAGUCUAUGGAACGAAUGAAUGUUAGCAAUGAUGACUUAGUACUCUAUUUACGCUUGAACAUAAUGGUCUGUGUAUGAAGAUGAUCCAGGUUUAAGAGUUGUAAACUUUCACUUAUGUGUUGGUGAAAGACUUUUGUCCUAUGAUUAGUAGUUAAGGUUCAAUGAUCCAUGAGUAAAGGGAAUGUAAAUUGGUUCUUCAAGUCUUAGAUAUAAGCUAGAUAGUUUAUGGGAAGAAAUUUAAUCUAUCUUUUGACAAUGGAACCUAUUAUACCUGACUUAAAAAAAAAACUCAGUACUUCAUGUUUAAAACCUCCUAUUCUAGUUUUAUCUGCUACGUGUGAAGUUUGAUAAAAAAAAAAUGAUGAUGAAUUCAAAAAUUUUCAAUUCGAUAAUAUAUUUCUUUGCCUUUCUACGCCUUUUAGAUACUAAUAUUUAAAUUUGCUAUAAAUGUGCUUGUAAAAGUAAUAUAGAAUUUUCGAUCUUAUUUUUCUUGUUUAAGUUAUUUGGGUUAUUCUCUUGUACGAUAUUUUCAUGAAAUUUGAGUUAUUAAGAUCGUAACUUUUAUAAAAGAAAAGGUUUUAACCAAAUAUUUUAUGUCUGCCCCAUCUUACCUUUUCACUUUAGAGUUAACUAAGAGAGUCUCUUUGCAAACAACCAAGAGUUUAGGAAUUUAUUCUUACGAGCGUUAUUCUGAAAAUUUUAUAUCCUUCUCUUAAAAACUUCAAAUAUUUUGAUUUUUGUUAUAAAGCUAUAUUUUUCCUUUGUGGAGAGGAAUGAACUUAAGAGUCUUAUUAUAUCUGAUGUAAGGUUUGAAUUUAUCAGAGUAAGUGACUAGGGGACUAUGAUAAGAUAUUAUUGACUUUAAGGUUUAUCCUUUAGUGUUUUGAUAUUUGUAUUCAUUUGUAUGGAAUUGAAUGUGAUUUUUUUUGAAAUUAUUUAUUACUUGAGGUUUCUUUCUAACCAUUUUAAAAGAUUAAUAGGGUUAAGACCCAGUAGGACAAAAUUACUGCGUUGUUAAGAUCUUAUAGAAUUUGAUAUACGAGGCAUUAAAAUUCACUGAGAGUACUUAGGGACCAUUGAGAUAUUGAGGUAAGGAUUAUAUGAUUUGUUCUUGGAUUGGAACACGUAGAUUGAAAAAUUUCUUGAGGUGAUUUUUAUUACUUAUGAUUGGCUUAUUAAUGAGGUAAUUGAAUUUGCGAAAAAGCGUGAAAAGAUUAUCAUCUUGCUCCUCGUGAAAAGAUUAAGAAUACACGACUUACGUGAUAUCUAGUGUGGAAUAGGUUUUACAAUUCCUAAGAGCGGGAUGCAGAAGAGAUAUCUGGAGUUUUUGAGCUAAGGCAUGAAUUUCGAGAACGAAAUUCUUUUAAGGGGGAGAGGUUGUGAUGAUCCAGAAAAUUAUUUUUCUCACCUUCCAACUAUUUGCAUUUUUAUUUAAAUUAUAUUUUUAUUAAGUUUGUAUUCAUUUAGUGAUUUACUUGUUAAUUGUUAAAUGAGUUUCUUUUACUUGCUUAUUUUAACCUUCGAGUGAUUAAUUUCUUGAAAAUAUUUAUAUUAUGUGAUUUUGCCAAAUUUUUGGUAUCCUCAUCUAUUAAACUGUCAUUUUAUAUCUUAGUUAAAUUUUUAUUAUUAAUUGCCCGGUUAUUGUUUGGCUAGCAUUAAAUGUGAAAUUUUAGAGUGGUGACGUGGAAUUUAGUCUUAAGAUGAAAUCUAGAGCAUGUAGAGAUUUUAAAGAAAUAGAAAAAUAAUAGGAUAAUGUUGGUUGAGGAAAAUCUAGUUUUGGAUAAGAUGUCGCAUGAGAAUGCGACACAUAAGCGAGUAGGUGAGGUGGUCCCCUACCACACUUUAAAGGAAGAAACUAGACUUGAGAGUUCUCUUCCCCUUGAGCCAACCGAAAUUUUGAGAGAGAGAGGGAGACUUGAGAACUCUCCAUUUCCUCCUCCAUCUUGCUCUUGAAGAUCACUUGAAAACCCAUCAAUCAGCACAAAAUUUUCUUCUUCUCUUUCUUCUUUUCUUGUUGAGAGCCGAAGGGGAGAGAGAAAAUCGAGAGAGAGAGAAAGAGCUUGAGAGAGAGAGAGAGAGAGAGAGAGAGAGAGAGAGAGAGAGAGUAACCAAGAGAGAAGGGACAUCCUCCAUCUUGCUCUUUGUGGAUUUGUGGAAGAAAUCACCUAAUUAACCUAAAAGAUUUGACCUUUCUUGAGAAAACUUGAAGGGUAAAGUUUGGAAAGAAAUUUUGAGAUUGAAUCACACUAGAUCUAGUUAGAUCUUGAGGUAAGCACCAAAAAUCACCCUUAAUCUUUAAUUUCUAGAUAUGGGUAUGUUAGAUUCACUUGAUUUAAGUAAGAUCUAUGGUAGAUCUAGUAAAUUUCUUGAGGUUAUAUCACUAGAUGUUCUAGUGGUUAAAAUGCUAGUUUAGCUCUUAAUUUGUUGGUUGGAUUUGCUUGAAAAUUGUCUUUUGAUGACCAAGGGCUAAUGAUUGAUGAAUCCCAUAUGAAUUUGAGUGAAUUUUGUUGACUAAAUGGUUGUUUUGUUGGUGAAAAUGGAAGAAAUCUCUAUAUCCACCAAGUGUUUGAUCUUUUGUGGAGGGUUGUUUAUGUGCAAAUUUUCAUGGUUUUUCUUGCUAAGAAUAGUUUGUUAUGGGAAAAUUGGGAAGAUUUGAUGGAGAAAUAUUUGGAAAAUUCUUGUGGGAAAAAUUCUGCCUUUGCUGUCCAAAACAGGGGAAGAUAUUCUAGCCUUGAUUUCCUCUUUUUCUUAAUAAUUUUGGGCAAGUUUUUGUUCAAGAAACUUGUUAAAAUAUCACUCUUUAUUUGUAUGUUGAAUUUGAACAAAAACUAUACUAUAAAUUUCUUUCUUGUUUUCUUGUUUGAAAGUUUGCAAAAUGGACUGAAACUCAGAGAGCAUUUUCAGUCAAUUUUUCAGAUUUUCUGGUAUUAAUUGAAAAUGAAUUAGAGUCUAAAUUUUAUACCGUUGGAAAGCUCUUCGAGUCUAGUUUCAAACACAACUAACGGCAUUCAAUUUCGAUUUUUCUACGUUGAGUUAUAGGCAUUUUCCCGAUACUGCUCAAAUGCCCUGAUAUGACGCGACAGCUUUCUUGUGCCUCUGUGAUUGCUAAUUUUGAUGAUGAAAAUGAAUGAACUGAAUUUGGAUGUCUAAAUAAGAAAUGUAGAUCUAUGUCUUAGGUUCGAAACGCCAUAAAAUUCAUCUCAAUCCGAUAAGUGUACCUCAAGUUAUGAUCAAAAUGCCGAGAGGUAUCAAAGCUGUUACUUUGAUUCUUCUCCUUUGCACUCUUUCCUUCACUUUUCUUGGUUCAAUUUAACAUUUUUUACUCCAUAUUAUACCUAAACCAUUGACCUAACAUGUACAUGGAUUUUCCCUUUGAUUUUUGAGCUUGAAACUUGUGUUUUGGAAGACUUUUAGGGAUGUAAAAAUAUAAAAAUCUUGAUAAACAUCUUGGGAUUUCUAAGUUGGGAUUUGGGAGUAGUUUUGAUUAAAUGGUGGUUUAGAGUAGUAAAUCUCAUUGUACUCUAAUUACUUGGUUCUAGGACUUGGAAGUGAACACAAGAUUUGCUCCGAAGCGGACAUUUGAGCGUUGCUUUAUAUGGUGAGUGUCAAGUGCAUGUUUCUUGAUAUCUUGAUUUGAAUGAUACCACGUGUUAUGUAUUGAAUAUUGGACUUGAUAAGGCGAGGGUGUACUUUAUCACACUCGUCCUCCCCUUCUUGAAUGAUCUUGUACUUGAGUGAACUUGAGUGAUCGUACUUGUGUUUAUACUUGUGCUUGACUUGUAAGUUGUAGAAACCAAAUUUUUAUUUUUAGCCUUAUUUUAUUAUUAUUUAUUUUUCUUAUUUUUAUUGUAAUUGAUUAAAUGAUAGUAAGGGUUUUUAAUUUUUUUUUACAAAUUGGGUUCGUUGUUUUCAUUUUUAUUGCUAAGAUAUUUUGUAUUAAAUUUCAGAAAAAGAAAUUUUCCACAAAAAGUUGUUUUAAUCAUUUUGGAUUCAAUUGGAAAAAAAAUAUAUAAUUGAUAUUUAAAAAUUUUCAAUUUGUUUUUAACUGUUUUUGUUUAUUUAAAUUGAAUUUUGAAAAAAAAAAAUAAAAAAAAAUGAUAAAAAAUAAUAAGAAAAUGUUUGAAUAGGUGAAAACUUGCAUGUGGGACAAGUAUCCCUUUAUGCCUUUGACAACACAACACCUAAGGGGUUAGGUUUCCAAACACUUGGAGGCCUAAGAUUUGAAGGAAAAGAAAAAACAAAAGAAAAAGAAAGGAAAGGGCGGCUAGAGGUUGAGAGAGCUGAGAGUGGGAGUUAGGGGUGAGAGAUAGAGAGAACCGAGAGAGAGCUCUCGACUGAGGAGAAAAAGAGGGAAAAACAGGGGAAUCUUUGGGAGCCGAAGGAAAAAAAAACAGAGGUAGAGAGGAUAGAAGAGUGGCGGCUAAGGGGAUUAGCUACGGGAAAGCUGAAGAAGGGGCAAGAAAAUGGCUGAGGGAAUCUGGGGAAAGAACCAGGAGAGCUAGGCAAAGGGGGAAAGGGUUUUGGCUCAUCAAAGCAAGAAGAGAGGAUCUGAGAGAGCUUAUUAGGACAAGAGGAAAAGAAGGCUGGCGGGUGGGGUUAGAAGAAGAGAGUGAGAGAAAGAAAGCUAGGGAGAGGCGUCGAAGGAAGAAAAAGGCUGUGCUGGCUGACGGGAAACUAAGAAAAAAAGAGAAAGGAGACGGGCAGAGAAAAAGGAACCAAGCGAGAGAGGGAGAGUGAGAGGAGUCUCGGGCUGGCAGGGAAGAAACAAGAACUGGAAAAGGAGAAGAAACUGAAAGGAAAGAAAAAGCUUGAAGAGGUCCAGGGGCUGGAAAAACAAAGAAGAAAGAAAGGGUUUCGGAGAGUGAGAGAUAGUAGGAGGAAACCGAGAACUGGGGGUUUCGUCCGAGAGCUUGGGGAGGCUGCGCAAAAGAGAGAUCGAGGGAACUGGAAAAGCUUGGGGAGGCUGCGGAAAAGGAGAUUGAGAGGGAGAAACUUCAGGGAAGCGAGGGACACCGGAGAGGGAAAAAGCUGAGGAAAAAGAAAGAGAACCGAGGAGAUUGGGAGAGGGGUGGCGGCUGAGCAAGGAGGAGCUUCAAGUUACGGGCCAGAGGUUUUCUCACCAUCUUCAUGAUUCUCCUAGGAUUAUCGCACGUCCCAAAACAUUUACUGGAAUAGAAGGUAAUCCAUCUUUGUCUUUGGUUCUGGGUAGAACUUUCAUGUUAGCUUCAAGAUCUGGUGAAGUUUGUGUGAGGAGCUGCGGUUUUCUAGUUCGUUUAUUCAUGGUUGCGAUUUGUUGUUGCUGAUUUCUGAUGAAUAUGAUGUUAUGCCCUUGUUCUUGGAUCCUUUAUCAUGGUUUGGUCUAUCAGGACACCUAGAAAGAGACCUGCACAUGAGGAUUUUUUGCUGCAACAAGCGCUAACUUUUUGGCUUGUUGCAGCAGUGUCGCCAAAUGCGUUGCUCGAUUGCAUAAGGCUUUGGUUUGUUUGAUCUUCUGUUUUGCUGGCUGUUUGAGUAUGUAUAACUUGCAGCAUGUGUGGAAAACUAGCGUGGGAAACUCGACAGGGUUUAGCCCUCAUAGUUAUGCAUAGCGGCUGCCCUUUAUUGUUUCCAUAUUUCUUCUCCCAGUUUUUCAUUUGCUCAAGUAGCAGCUUUCUUGUCUCUCUGGGAAGCUUUAUAGAUAUUGCUCAAGAAUUUUUGUUUUGGAGUCUCUGGUUUGGUUUAUAAUGGAGCAAGACUUUAAUUGCUGUUUUCCUUUUCAUGAUGCAAAGCAUGUGCGAGUGUUAGUUAAUUAAGUGAGCUUCUGUAGAUAAACCCAGAAUGGGCAAAAAUCUUUGCAUGAGCUAAAAAUUUGCAAACUUUCCUUAUGCUGGUUUUUGUUCUCUUGUAUGUAAUGAGGUAAGGGUAUGAGCUUAAUAAGAACUUGGGUUUGGUUCUGGUUUGAGUUUGGUGUUAAAUUGUUGCCGUGCAUGUAAUUGCUGAAAUCUCAAAGUGCGGUAGAAAGUUUGCAGAAAUUUUCAGAUUUCGCAUGCCUUUUUUCCUAUGAAAGUUUCAGUUUUUAGGGUCACAAAGUGGAGAGAAUGCUUGGUGAAUUUGUUACUUUGGCCCAAGUUGUUGUUGGUUGAGUCGUUAGCAAUGUUUAGAUGGAAAAGAUUGCAUUCAAAAACCCAGAAAUUGCAGCUCAAGAAACCAGCGAAAGAAAAGGAAGUUCCUGCUAAGAAGAUGCGUGAACUGUCAAACCUUUUUGCCGCUGGUUUGCUGAGCUUGUUCCACAGCUUUAUCAUGUUUGUUCUUUGAUGAUUCUCUUGCCAUUGUUUCCUUUUUUUUUUCCUGUCUUGUGUAUCUUGGGCGUUAGUUUUUGAAAUAAAAAGCAUCAGCUGCAUAAUUUGGCUUGGAUUUCAUUUCCUUUCGGUUUGUACUUGGGUAGAACCAAUCUAGGAGAGUUGUAGAAGAAUUGUUGCGAAAGAUUUGCCUGCUUGAAUGUCGAAUUUCUGUGGUUUUGAUGUUUGGUUGAGAAGCUGGCCGUGUUUGGAUGAAAAAUUACAUCUGAUGAACACCACAAGUGUAGCUAAUCGUAGCUGGAAAAUUGCAGAAUUUUGUUAUUUGAUGCUUGCAUGAUCUUUUGUAUGAAUUUCUGGUACUUAAACAUGAGGAUUUUAGGUUGAAAAGUGAGAGGGAUAUGCGGCAAAUCUUGUUGUUUUGAUUCAAGCUGGGUUUGAUUGAAGUGGUAGUCGUGUGUUUGAGAGUGUAAUCUGAUAGCUGCAGUGGUGAACUAGGAAUUGCAGAAGGAAGCUUCGUAGCAUGCAUGGAAGUAUUUUCAAAAUUUUCACUUUAACACCUUAGCUUCUAUCUAAUGCUACUAUGGCCCAACUAAUUGGAUAACUUAAUCAAUUUUGUCCCUUAACAUGCCAUUUUUCUUUAACACGUCUUAACGUAAUUUUUAGAUAGAUUUUAAUGAGUUUUAGGAUGAAUUUGAAAGUUUAAUGACUUUUUCUAAACUUAUAGUUUUGAUUUGAAUUUUAGUGGAAUUUUGGGAAAUUUUGUCGUUUAAUUAUGAAAAAUGAGCUAUUAUUCGUUUUUUGUGAAUUUUAGUUUUGUUUUGGUAGGUUUCAUCUUAAGCCAUUAAUUUUAAUUUAUUUCAAUUUAGACCCUUAAUAUUUAUAAUAAUAAUAAAGUGAUCCCUCGAACUUCUUUAAUUCUUUCAAAUGGGUCCUUAUUUGUUUAAUUGGUCGAAUAUGAGUUGUCUAUUUUAUUUGAAUGCUUUAAUUAGUUUAAUUUUGUGUUUAUUUCCAUUUUUUGUGAUUAUUUGUUAAUUAAAGUGAUGCCUUGACCUUUUCUUUAUUUUUUGGAGGGUAAAUAAAAAAAUUUCAUUUCAUUAGGGCACCAAAUCAAGGAAGGUACACUCUACCCCUUUAUUUGAUUUUACUUGACCCUAUGUGCUCCUAUGUGAAUUUAUUUGUAAAAUUGCAUGCUUUUUUGAAUAUUUUUAUUUUAUUUAUUUAUUUAGUCACUUUAUUUGUUUUGAUUUAGUUUAUUUAUUUUAAUUUAGUUUUGAUUAUUUGAAAGGCAUUUAAAAGCCAAAAUUGUAAUAGUUAGGUAUUUCUUUUAUUUAUUUAUUUUAUUUCCUUUCUUAGAUUGUAGUUAGGGCCACCCCAAAUGUAAUAGUUAGGGCUUUAUUCGCUUUAUUCGCUUUAUUCGCUUUAUGUGUUUUGCAUGCUUAUGUGCUACGUGUUACUCGCUUUGUUAGGGCCUUGUAUCUAGAUAUCAUGAUUAUGUGUUAUGUGUUUAUGUGAUAUUAUGUGUUUACAUGCUUUUAUUAUGUUUUGCAUGAUUAGUUAGUUAUAAUUAAUGUGUGACGUCUCCACACUAGUCCAACGUUAGUUGUGGCUUCUUUUUCCGAUUUUUUACUAGUCCAACGCUAGUGAGAACUCGUAGACAUGAGCUAGUCCAACGCUAGACCCUUAGGAACCAUUCACAUGCUAGAUCAUGUUUGUGUGACUACACUACAUUUUCAUGCAUAUUUUUCACUUUCUAGGAUUUUUUUAUCAUUUUUUCAUGACAUCCCCCCUUAUACGUAUAUCCCGUACCCCAUGUUCCCCCUUAUAUAUAUAUCCUUUAUCGCAUAUUUCCCCUUAUAUUUUUAUUCCCUAUCCCUAUGUGUGAGACAUGACAUUAGACUUGCAUUUCAUAUAAGAAAAUCAGAACUAGGUUAGUACAUUUGCUUGAUUAGAUUAGGAAAUGCCCCUCAAGUAUGGGAUAUGGACGAGUUUGGCUUCCUAGCCUUAGCACGCUCGUAUUCCCUCUACAAAAGGGAAAAUUGAAGUCAUGAAUCAUAGCCCCGCACCCGUUAUGAUGCAUUCCUUUAGGUCAUGUAUAUUUGUAUAUUAUUAUUUUCUUUUUCUUUUUUUCGAGUCGCAUAUUUUUGCAUAUUCGUGACCUUUUCAAAUAAUUACUUUUGGGCAUCGUAAUUAAUACGAUUUGCACCAAAUAAAAUUCGAAGAAACAUGUUGACUUCGAUACAUUAGGUCUAGGGUUUGCACUCAUAUAGUACAUCCAAAUGUGAUAAAUUCUUAGGCUAAAAUAAGAAAAUCGUUGACUAAAUCACGCAAUUAGCUUUGACCAGGUUGAAAGGGUGCCUUGGAUUUUAUUUUUACAUUCCUUUUCUUCAAAUGUGUCUCCCGAACACUUUUCUCUGAUUUUUGCAAACUUGAAGUCGUUUAAAAAGGGUUUUUCUAAUUUUUUAUUCAAAAUCCAUUUUAGGUAACUUGGUACACCUUAACUCGAUACCAAGUGGCGGCUCCGAUUUUUUUUAUUCAAAAACCCUUUUUAAACUAUAAUUUGGGAUAAAAUCGUUGCACCUAUUAAACCCCAUUUAGGCCCCAUUUUGUUUAUUCAUUUACUAAAAAUAAAAAACACAUCAUUUUCAAUAAAAAAAUUAAACCAAAAUCCAUUUUUCUAAACUCUUUAUUUUUCAUUUUUAAAAGUGGGGCGCGACAUAAGUGAUGAGCGGCAGCAUGUAUCACACUCAAUCCGAAUGAAAGCUGCCUCUCAUAUCGUGUCAGUACCUCUAUUUUGAUUAAGUCGAUUGGAGUGUUAUUUGAUCGAUCCUAGUGCUGAGCGAUAACAUGUACCACACUCAAUCCGAGUGGGAGGUGCUUCUCAUACCGUCUCAGUACCUCUAUCUUGAUUAAGUCGAUUGGAGUGUUAUCUCAUCGAUUAUACUUGUUCUUGUUUGGGUAUACUCGAGUAUUACCACCACUAUUUCAAUUUGGUGUUCGGGCGAGGUAGGGAGUGAAAUGGUGGAUGGGGAUUCGUGUCAAAUGAAUUUUAUGGACUUGUUACUUGCGUGGUUGGUGGAGUGUCAACAAAAGAAAAUGAUAUCCAAGAUUGUGAAAUGGCAAGCUUGUGGAUUAGCUCAUGAGAGCUCCUGUAUCCUCUUAAUGAACAUGUUUUAGUCCUUUUGUGGCUUUACGUGAAACUAUUAUUGUUAUUCUGUACAUGUGCUACUUGAGUUGAAUUAUGGUGUUUGUUUUACUUUCUUGCUUACUUUUUUGGCCUCACUGAGCCUCCGCUCAUCCCUUUAAGUUUGUCAUUCCUUGACAGGAAUUUGAAGUGAAGAAUUGGAGGCGCUAGACUAGCCAGAUUUUGUUUAGAGUUAGUGUAAUUCCCUAAGUGACUUUUAGACAUUUGGAAGUGUAGAUUUCAUUUGUAUUUGAGAUAUUAUAGUUGUAAUAGUUAACACUAUUGCCUAAGGAUUGUAGUUGUUGUUAUUCAAGUACUUUCUUAGUUUUAAAAAAUUGUUUGGCUUGAAAAUCUUGAUUGAGUUCGAGCAAGUGAGUGAGUCGGCUAACCCUUAGGGUACGCCAUUGGGGAAGGUGGGGCUGUCA
RNAcentral lists this long non-coding RNA (46999 nucleotides) under Coffea arabica (coffee). RNAcentral describes it as "long non-coding RNA (CARA_LNC007786)". Lineage: Eukaryota; Viridiplantae; Streptophyta; Magnoliopsida; Gentianales; Rubiaceae. The record is from RNAcentral.